UCCGCUACACCCAUUUUGUGUACGUGUUGAUGCUUCACCGCCCAACAUUCUGUGCCAUACAACAUCGCUGGCCUUAUUGCCGUCCUAUAAAAUUUUCCCUUGAGCUUCAGUGGCCUACGACGGUCACACAGCACGCUGGAUGCACUCUUACACUUCAUCCAUCCAGCUCGUAUUCUAUGGUUGAGAUCUCCAUCUAAUUCUCCGUUCUCUUGCAAGAUAGAUCCUAGGUAGCGAAAACGGUCGCUUUUUGUGAUCUUCGCUAGAUUGGUCCGGUUAUUAGUGUGGAUAAGUAUAUAAAUGGAUAGAGAUAGGAAAGCAAACACAAGAUGUACGUGGUUCACCCAGAUUGGCUACGUCCACGGAAUAGAAGAGUUCUCAUUAAUUGUGAAGGGUUUACACAAGUACAUAGGUUCAAGCUCUCCUUUAGUGAGUAUAAGUGAAUGAUUUAGUACAAAUGACAUUAGGAAAUAUUGUGGGAGAAUGAUCUCGUAAUCACGAAACUUCUAAGUAUCGGAGUGUGGUGUCGUCUUGACUUGCCUUAUCUGUCUCAUAGGUAGAUGUGGCAUCUUCUCUGGAAGUACUCUUCCUCCAUCCAGGGGUGGUAUCUUUAACUGGUGGAGAUGCACAAGGUAAUGUAUCAAUUUCACUUGAAGCUUACUUGUAGUUUCAAGCUUGGUCAAGCGCGAUACAAACCAUGUAGUAGGAGUCCCCCAAGUCGCCGAGCUAGGGGGUCUGCUGAAAGAGGUGACAGACAAGGUAAGCAAUCAGAGCUCCGACUGAUUGUUCACCUUCUCCCCAUCUUGCAGCAGCAUGAAGGAUAAAGAGAAGAAAAAUGAGAAGAGAUGAUAUGAGAUACUUUUGCUUUUGAAGAAGUAACUUUCCACAUGCUUAUUCUUGAACUGAGCUGGAGGGUUUUCUGGUUUCCUCCAGAGUAUAAGGCCGACUGAAGAAUUUGAGGGUCAAAACAAGUCCAUCAAAUCUAGAGUACGUUCCACCCUGCUGAUAUGGGAUACUUUUGCUUUUGACAGAGUAAUGGAUGUAUCGGCACGUGUGCUGUUACGCUUGUCUCCACAUGCUUCCUUGUAUCCUUCGCACUUGCCCUAUCUGUUCCUCAAGCAGAUACGGAAUCUUCCCUGGAAACAUAAGAUGUUGAAGAUGAGUACUCGAGAGCAAUGCCAGGUAAGUAAUCAGGUAAGGGGUUCCAGGCAGUCAGUUCCUGGCUGGAAGCUUGAUUCCAAGUGCUGACUGAUUGCUCUCUUUCUCCUUGUCUUGCAGGUAAAAACAAGGCCAAAGGAAAAGACAGGGAAAAAGCAUGAUAUGGGAUACUCUUGCUUUUAAACCCUGAUGAUAUGAGAUAUUCUUGCUCUAGUAUAGCUUGUUUGCAGAGGUAUUAUCGGGGGGAAAGAAAGCUGAAUAUUUCGAAAGGCUUCGUUGGGAGUGCCCUCUCAGAUAUGAUGAAGGGUUGAGCAUUUUUGCAGGUCUGCCUGUCCGUUGGGGGAUGGAGGUCGACAUAUAUAGGAGUCUCCCUAACAAACAAGUAGUAAUGCUAUUCAUUUACCCUGCUUGGUCAUAGCACGGUAGUGGGAGCUGCCAGUUUCACAUGUUUUAACUCUGUCAGAGCACUUUGAAAAAGUGGUCCUGUGGUAUCUGGCUCUCGAGAUUCGGAGAACGAUGUCUCUUCGAUUUUUGAGAAAGCAAUCAUGUUGGGGGGUCUGGCUCUCGAGAUUCGGAGAGCAGUGUUCUCUUCGAUUUUUGAGGAAGUAAUCAUGUUGGGAGUCUGGCUCUCGAGAUUCGGAGGGCGGUGCCUCUUCGAUUUUGGAGCAAGCAAUCAUGUUGGGAGUGUUGUCUCGAAUGUGAGUAAAGGUUGGGCAUGUUUGCUAGUCUACCUUGCCCCGAAGCACAAAAGGUUGACACACAGGGACUUUCCAAUUAUCUAGCAAUGGUACUGUUCCUUUACCCUCUCUUCGCUUUUGAGAAAGUAGUCAUGUUAGGAGUCUGGCUUUCGAGAUUCGGAGGACGGUGCCUCUUCGAUUUUGGAGCAAGCAAUCUUGUUGGGAGUGUUUUCUCGAAUGUGAGUAAAGGUUGGGCAUGUUUGCUAGUCUACCUUGCCACGAAGCACAGAGGUUGACACACAGGAACUUUCCAAUUAUCCAGCAAUGGUACUGUUCCUUUACCCUUGUGGGUAAUAAUAUGGUAGCUAGACCUUCAAAAUUUAUGUGUCUAAACUUUGUUAGUGCUGUUUCUUUGCUAUUCUUUUACCUUUCUUGGUCAGAGCGAUGUAGUGGGAGCUGCAAGCUUCACGUGCUCAACUUUGGCAGAGAACUUUGGCAAAGUUAUCUGUGGUACCCAUGAGCUAUUGUUGCGUGUGGGAAGUGGGUGAUUGAACAGUAAGAUUCAUGUGCUUUCUACUUCACCAGAAGUCUUCGACAGAAUGCCCAUAAUUUCUGCAAAGCUGAGUGUGCGUGUGACAGGUGCUGACAAGGCUAGAAUAGUAGGUGCCUCUUCGAUUUCUGAGAUCGGCCCUCGUGGUCUCUGGGGAGCCCAGCUUUUGAGAAAGCGAGCGCCUCUUCGAUUUCUGAGAUCGGCCUUCGUGGUCUUUGAGCAGCCCAACUUUUGAGAAAGCAAACGCCUCUUCGAUUUCUGAGAUCAACCCUCGUGAUCUCUAAGCAGCCCAGCUUUUGAGAAAGCAAACGCCUCUUCAAUUUCUGAGCAGGCGCCUCUUCGAUUUCUGAAGCUCCGUCGAAUGCAGAUUUUUAUAGGGGCUGGCAUUAAGUUCCAAAGCACACUUGAAUCUCCACCAGUAGAAGCUUCAUUCUUGCACUUCUAAGAUCUUGAUUUGUCCGACCUCUUCUCUCUUCAACACCUUUGAAAAUGUCUGGCCCCUCCGACCGUCGUUUUGACUUGAACCUUGUUGAAGAGGCAGCCCCGCCUUCUCCAGACAACAUAUGGCGCCCAUCCUUCGUCUCCCCUACUGGUUCUCUUACCGUUGGGGAUUCCGUGAUGAAGAAUGAUAUGACCGCUGCGGUGGUGGCCAGGAACCUUCUCACUCCCAAAGAUAACAGACUACUUUCCAAACGGUCUGAUGAGUUAGCUGUUAAGGAUUCGCUGGCUCUCAGUGUUCAGUGUGCAGGUUCUGUGUCUAAUAUGGCCCAACGCCUAUUUGCUCGAACCCGCCAAGUUGAAUCAUUGGCGGCUGAAGUGAUGAGUCUCAAACAGGAGAUUAGAGGGCUCAAGCAUGAGAAUAAACAGUUGCACCGGCUCGCACAUGACUAUGCUACAAACAUGAAGAGGAAGCUUGACCAGAUGAAGGAAACUGAUGGUCAGGUUUUACUUGAUCAUCAGAGAUUUGUGGGUUUGUUCCAAAGGCAUUUUAUUGCCUUCAUCUUCUGGGGCUGUACCGCGUAAUGAAGCUCCGAAUGAUCAACCUCUGAUGCCUCCUCCUUCUAGAGUUCUGUCCAGUACUGAGGCUCCAAAUGAUCCCCCUCCGGUGCCUUCUCUUUCUGGGGCUCUACUGACUGCUGAGACUUCUCCUAAGCAACCUUUGUGAAGGCUCCCUCUUGUGUGUUUAUUUUGACUCAUGUAUAUGUACAUAUUUGUAGCUUAUCGGGGAUAUCAAUAAAUAAGCUUUCCUUCAUUUCAACGUAUUGUUAAAUACACCAAAGCCUUCUUCGCUAAGUUCUUUGAAUUUUCUUUUGUUGAAGCUUGUAUGUUGAAGCUUUCUGAGCGGAGCAUGUAGGUUGGGGUAGUGUUCCCUUAACUUCCUGAGUGAGGAAAACUUCUCGGUUGGAGACUUGGAAAAUCCAAGUCACUGAGUGGGAUCGGCUAUAUGAAUCUUAGAACGCCAUUGUGCUCGAUCCUGAGUCAUGUCCUUCGUUAGAUCCAAGUACUCUAAGUCUUUUCUUAGAGUCUCUUCCAAAGUUUUCCUAGGUCUUCCUCUACCCCUUCGGCCCUGAACCUCUGUCCCAUAGUCGCAUCUUCUAAUCGGAGCGUCAGUAGGCCUUCUUUGCACAUGUCCAAACCACCGUAACCGAUUUUCUCUCAUCUUUCCUUCAAUUUCGGCUACUCCUACUUUUACCCCGGAUAUCCUCAUUCCUAAUCUUUAUCCUUUCUCGUGUGCCCACACAUCCAACGAAGCAUCCUCAUCUCCGCUACACCCAUUUUGUGUACGUGUUGAUGUUUCACCGCCCAACAUUCUGUGCCAUACAGCAUCGCCGGCCUUAUUGCCGUCCUAUAAAAUUUUCCCUUGAGUUUCAGUGGCAUACGGCGGUCACACAACACGCCGGAUGCACUCUUCCACUUCAUCCAUCCAGCUUGUAUUCUGUGGUUGAGAUCUCCAUCUAAUUCUCCGUUCUUUUGCAAGAUAGAUCCUAGGUAACGAAAACGGUCGCUCUUUGGUAUUUCUUGAUCUCCGAUCCUCACCCCUAACUCGUUUUGGCCUCCAUUUGCACUGAACUUGCACUCCAUAUAUUCUGUCUUUGAUCGGCUUAGGCGAAGACCUUUAGAUUCCAACACUUCUCUCCAAAGGUUAAGCUUUGCAUUUACCCCUUCCUGAGUUUCAUCUAUCAACACUAUAUCGUCUGCGAAAAGCAUACACCAAGGAAUAUCAUAUUGAAUAUGUCCUGUUAACUCAUCCAUUACCAACGCAAAAAGGUAAGGACUUAAGGAUGAGCCUUGAUGUAAUCCUACAGUUAUGGGAAAGCUUUCGGUUUAUCCUUCAUGAGUUCUUACGGUAGUAUUUGCUCCUUCAUACAUAUCCUUUAUAGCUUGGAUAUAUGCUACUCGUACUCCUUUCUUCUCUAAAAUCCUCCAAAGAAUGUCUCUUGGGACCCUAUCAUACGCUUUUUCCAAAUCUAUAAAGACCAUUGUGUAAAUCCUUUUUCCCAUCUCUAUAUCUUUCCAUCAAUCUUCGUAAGAGAUAGAUUGCCUCCAUGGUUGAGCACCCUGGCAUGAACCCGAAUUGGUUGUCCGAAACCCGUGUCUCUUGCCUCAAUCUAUGCUCAAUGACUCUCUCCCAGAGCUUCAUUGUAUGACUCAUUAGCUUAAUACCCCUAUAGUUCAUGCAAUUUUGUACGUCGCCCUUAUUCUUGUAGAUAAGCACCAAAGUGCUCGUUCGCCACUCAUUUGGCAUCUUCUUCGUUUUCAAAAUCCUAUUGAAAAGGUCAGUGAGCCAUGUUAUACCUGUCUCUCCCAAAAGUUUCCACACUUCGAUUGGUAUAUUGUCUGGGCCUAUUGCUUUUUUAUGCUUCAUCUUCUUCAAAGCUACAACCACUUCUUCCUUCCGUAUUCGACGAUAAAAAGAGUAGUUUCUACACUCUUCUGAGUUACUCAACUCCCCUAAAGAAGCACUCAUUUCAUGUCCUUCAUUGAAAAGAUUAUGAAAAUAACCUCUCCAUCUGUCUUUAACCGCGUUCUCUGUAACAAGAACCUUUCCAUCCUCAUCCUUGAUGCACCUCACUUGGUUUAGGUCCCUUGUCUUCUUUUCCCUUGCUCUAGAUAGUUUAUAGAUAUCCAACUCUCCUUCUUUGGUAUCUAGUCGUUUAUACAUAUCGUCGUAAGCCGCUAACUUAGCUUCUCUGACAGCUUUCUUCGCCUCUUGCUUCGCUUUUUCUAUACCUUUCACCAUUUUCAUCGGUCCUCUCCUUGUAUAAGGCUUUACAACAUUCCUUCUUAGCCUUCACCUUUGUUUGUACCUCCUCAUUCCACCACCAAGAUUCCUUUUGGUGUGGGGCAAAGCCCUUGGACUCUCCUAAUACCUCUUUUUGCUACUUUUCGGAUACAACUAGCCAUGGAAUCCCACAUUUGGCUAGCUUCCCCCUCUCUAUCCCACACACAUUGGGUGAUUACCUUCUCUUUGAAAAUGACUUGUUUUUUCUUCUUUUAGAUUCCACCAUCUAGUCCUUGGGCACUUCCAAGUCUUGUUCUUUUGUCUUACUCUUUUGAUAUGUACAUCCAUCACCAACAAGCGAUGUUGAUUAGCCACGCUCUCUCCUGGUAUAACUUUGCAAUCCUUACAAGUUAUACGAUCCCCUUUCCUCAUUAGAAGAAAAUCUAUUUGUGUUUUUGACGACCCACUCUUUGUAGGUGAUCACAUGUUCUUCCCUCUUCUUAAAGAAGGUGUUUGGCUAAGAAGAGAUCAUAUGCCAUUGCAAAAAUCCAAGAUAGCUUCCCCAUCCUCGUUUCUCUCCCCAAAACCAUGGCCACCAUGAAAACCUCCAUAGUUGCCUGUCUCCCUGCCCACGUGUCCAUUUAAAUCUCCUCCUAUAAAUAACUUCUCCGUCUGAGCAAUUCCUUGCACCAAGUCUCCAAGAUCUUCCCAAAAUUUCUCCUUCGAACUCGUAUCCAACCCUACUUGAGGUGCGUACGCACUAAUCACAUUGAUAAGUUCUUGUCCUAUUACAAUCUUGAUUGCCAUGAUUCUAUCUCCUACCCUCUUGACAUCUACAACAUCUUGUACCAAGGUCUUGUCCACGAUGAUGCCAACACCGUUUCUCGUUCUAUUUGUGCCCGAAUACCAAAGUUUAAACCCUGAGUUUUCUAGAUCCUUUGCCUUACUACCAACCCACUUAGUUUCUUGUAGGCACAUAAUAUUUAUCCUUCUCCUCACCAUAACUUCCACUACUUCCAUAGAUUUUCCCGUUAAGGUUCCUAUAUUCCACGUUCCUAAACGCAUUUUGCUCUCUUGAACUCUACCCUUCUGUCCUAGCUUCUUCACCCUCCCCCGUCUAAUAGGAUCAAAGUACUUCUUUUGUGUGUCCCGGGUAAAGUUGAUAGGAGCAUAUGCUCCCAAACAACUUUGAGUGGAGUCGUUCGAAAAGAAGUUUUUAUGGCCCCCUUGCUCAUUUAACACUGCAUCCGGGUGCCGAUGGAGAUACAGCGACCCUUGCUCACUUAUCACUGUGCUCGGGCCACACAGCGCGCCACUUACGGGUGACGCCCUAGCUUUAGCGCGAUUUUGUUCUGGAUUCAUUUUCAUAAGGAUUCGACGUGAUCAUGGAGUGCCGGCUGUCGACUACCUGAUGCCCUCCCCCUCCUCCUUUAUCCGGGCUUGGGACCGGCCAUGUAAGACAUAGGCGGAGUUCAGAUAAUAAACACAAUGUUCUAAAAAUCGAUAAAGAACAGUUUUGAAUAGGAACUCCUACUCAUCUUUUGAGUAGCAAAAUAUUAUUCAUUAUGACCAAAAUGAAGUUAAUUUGGAAAUAAGGACAAUUAAUUCAUGAAUUUGGAAUAAGGUAUUAAUUAAGAAACAUCCCUUUUUUUGUUUUGUUAAAAUGAAUAAUGAAUUCAAUAGUAACAAAAACAAAGCUAUACUGCCUGCUAUUUCCACAGGCCUGUAUCUUCUUUGACACUACCAAAACAUUCACCACAAGGAAAACUGUGGAAAUACAGUGCAGAAUAUGUCAAUCGCUACAGAAAUUCCGUUACAGCUUUUGCCGGAGCGCUUGUUUUCAGUAUCAUUUCGUCAUACUCGUCUUCAGGGUUUGAUAACGCAACAAUGGCUCCUCCCCCGCCUAUUGAAGCUUCACCCUCAUGUAUAACAACGGUUCUGAUAACUAUGUUGAGAUCGAAUGUCUGGUUAUAUGAGAAAAACCCUAUGGAGCCUGAGUAGAUUCCUCGUGGACUACAUUCGAUUGAGUCAAGAAGUUCCAUUGAUCUCAGUUUUGGUGCACCUGUCAUUGAACCCCCUGGAAAUGCCGCUCUCACGCAGUCAACUGCACUUACAUCUGACCGCUUUUUCCCGCGAAUUGUGCUCACCAUAGUAUGAACAGUAGCAUAUGAUUCCACGUCCAUCAGAUGGGGCACAUGAACAGAGCCGGGCUCACAUACACGCCCAAGGUCAUUUCUCAGAAGAUCAACGAUCAUCAGAUUUUCAGCUUGAUCCUUUUCACUGUAGAGGGGAGUGAGAGAGAUUAAUUCAUAGAAAGGGAGAGAAAACCACCUCAUUUCUUUCUUGCCAAGUAACUGCAUACACACUAGCUGGAUAUCGAACCCUAGAUCUUAUAUCGCCCACCCUCAUUCUUAAAAGGCAGGAUGUGUCAGUACUCCCAGAUGCUAAUGAACUACUAUUCAGUCCCUGUUGUUUUGAGUUGAUUUUAAAUCUCAAACAUGAGAAAACACAUCCCGGAGCAGAACAACAACAACCAACAACCAACAACCAAGCAGUAUCCCACUAAGUGGGGUCGGCUGAGAAUAGCUCUUCACUGUAGAGGGGGGAGAGAGAUACUAAUUCAUAAAAAGGGAGAGAAAACCACUUCAUUUCUUUCUUGCCAAGUAACUGCAUACACACUAGCUGGAUAUUGAACCCUGGAUCUUAUAUCGCUCACCCUAAUUCUUAAAGAGGGAGGAUGUUCAUCACUCCCAGAUGCUAAUGAAGUACUAUUUAGUCACUAUUUGUUUCGAGUUGAUUUUAGACCUCAAACAUGAGAAAACGCAUCCCAGACCGGAAAGUGAGAAUAAAUCUAGCUAAUAGUAGAAAACUAAGAUUCUGAUAGCAGCUCUUUCACCGGACCAAAUUGUCAUCUAUUUGACAAUUAUUAUAUAAAUGGGAAAAAGAUAUGUGAUAAUGGUUCAAUCCUGUUAAAAAAAAAGAGAUUUUACCUGUAUUGCAGUUGUAAUUUGCGUUGCUCAUCUUCUUCUAGUGUUGCACCACGAGCUAUAGUACCCUUAAUGGGCUUUGCUUCUAAUAUACCAUUUCUAUCCAACCGUAGAAACCGCUCUGGGGAAGAACAGCAGACACAUAGGUUUUCCUUUGAAAAAUUAAGCCAGGCAGCAUAUGGUGCUGGAUUUUUUCUCGAAGGUGAAGGUAAAGUCCUAAUGAAUCCAUUUCCCCAAUUCUUUUCCUCAUCUGAGUUGUUAGACAUAAUUCAUAGCUUUCACCGUCUUUAAUGUAUUCCAGACACUUAUCGACAUCUUUUAUAUACUCUUCUCUUGAUUUAUCAACUAUAAAACUUCCUUGACAUUCCGAAGAUCGAAGAGCCUGCAAAGCUGGCUCACCUCCCUCCUCUGUAGCAGAAGCUUUUAAGCUGAGAAGCUUCUGUUCUGUAUUGUCCAACCAUGGCGUCGUACUUGUGCAUUCUUCCUUAAUAGACAGUAUAUAAACAUCAUCGGAGCAGUGAUCAAUAACUACAAGAUUAUCGGCAAAGAAAAAGCAAGCAUCUGGAGUCUUGGAUUUGUGGCAGUUAGAUGAUGCACCACAUUCAACUUUAAGGCUAUAUCUGUAUUACAUGAAAUCAAUGAAUAUUAGCCAGCUAACUUAAACAACCAUGGAAAUUAAUAUUUUUGGAUAGCAACAGAAAUUCAAUCCAAGCAUAAAUAUCUGAAAAGCAGAAACCAGAGGAAAGGGAUGAUGACUUCUUAUAACUGAACGGCAAUCAGAAAUCGUGAUAGCUAAAAAGUCGAGAUGUCUAAGAUUCAAUCGAUUUCUUCAGAGCCAACUGCCCAUAUUGGAUUAAGCCAAAAAGCAGCCAAAACAUGGGAAAGCCGAUAAAAACAUCGGUAGAGUUUGCAAGAGACCAAGUUCUGAGAAACUAGUUUGCCACAAACUAAAACAAACAAACAAAAUUGGACUCAUGCACCGAGUAGGGGAUAAGAAAAAAAAGAUGGUCCGAGAACAUUACAUUCAAAUAAACUUAACUGCAUACCCCAUGUAGCCAAUAUAUCCACCAUGAAAAUCAAAUGGAAGGCCUUCAUAAUCCUUUUCAUCGUAACAAAAUGACAGGAGCUCCUGAAACAAGGACCAAGUAGCCGAUAUUACUUCACACUGGGAGACUGAACACGGUAACAAAAUAAAAGACAAACAUAUUCCAAAUGGACAGAAGAAAGCGCAUUCUGACAUAAGUUUAUGAUCAUUGAGAUGAUCUGUAUUUAGUACAACACCGGAAAAAUUAUAGAAUCCCAAUAAUUCAAGAACAGAAACAAAACAAGAUAAGGGCAACUUCAGAAGCCAUUUCCAACUUAAAACCUAAAAUUUUUAACCAAGAAAAUUUAGGUUUUAACUCAAAAACAAUUUUUCUCCUCCAACAUUGUUAAAUUUUUAGCCCGAGAUUAUUAAAGAAUGAAUUUAGGAUAAUUUUUUUCUUAAAGUAACUUUAAAAAAAAAUAAAAAAUUAUGUAGACUAUCCUAAUUUAAUAUUAUGAACAUUUUAACCUAAAAAUAUUUAGAUUCCAAUAAAUAUUGAAAAAUCACUAAACUGGCACCAUGCAACUCGUGGAACACUACGAAAGAAUAUGAAACACAUAAAAUAUAUUUUUUUAAUUACUUUAGCCAUUGGAUUUAAAUUUGGACCGUUAUAUAUAUAUAUAUUUUUUUUUACCGUUGAUUUGAUCAAAUGAGAUCUUAGCCGUUUGAUUCAAUGAAUUUAUAAAAAAAAAAAAGUCGUACCCAGUGCACAAGGCUCCCGCUUUACGCAGGGUCUGGGAGAGGUGAAUGUCGGCUAGCCUUACCCCCAUUUAUGGAGAGGCUGCUCCCAAAAUGAAUUUAUAAAUAUAAAACUAAAAAAAAAAAAAUACACAUAUAUGAUAGGUCAGCCCCACUAACCCAGGGGAAUCCUAGGCUAAAUUUGCCCCAGAAAUGAGUUUUGGGUUUGGAGCAAGUUGGAGUAAGUUUAGAACCUAAAAUUCGAGUUUUAUUCCAAGGGUUGGAGUAGGUCUAAGACUACACCACAAGCUGUAAUUUCACUUAAUACCUUUUUCAAAAAAUCAAGAAAACCUUCGUCAAAAAUCUGCUGCUGGUAGAGCCUUGAGCAUCCUCAACAGAUAGAAAACCACUUCCCUUCAAUGUCUUAUCACUGAAAAAUGCAGUAUAUAUCACCAUAACAUUAAAAUACUCAUAAGAGCUUUAUUCUAGAAAAGAACUUCAAAUAAUUCCACAAGAAUUCAAUACGAUUAUUGAAGAACGAAGGUAGUUAGCUGAUGGUACUUCCAUCUCAUGUUAUAACACGAUACCACCAUCAGUGAACAAAAAUCCAUACAAAACUAAAAGUUCGAAUUUUCCCGAAUCAAUGCUCAUUGCUCAGUCAUACCUUCUAUCAGAUAAUUUAAAGGUCAAUUGCUUCCAAAGAGUUCCACCUUUUCCUCCCAUAAAUGAAAAGCGUGCUCUUCUCUGAACAUUCAAGAAAACAGAAACAGAGACAAUGUGUAAGAAAUAAUGGUUUUACGACCGCUACUCAAAAUAAAACUAAGGUAUUAUGAUAAUGUCAAAUGCUUCAACUAAACCUUCACAGAGCACCAUGAGAGAAGGAAAACUCAUGCUAAGAUAUGUAACUAGUAAGCAGGAGCAAGUGAAAUUAACCUACCAAACUAACCUUUUCUAUCGAUGAACUGUCCAACCAAAAGGUGUUUUCAGCUUUAUGAUGUCCAAACAGUUCGCAGAAAAUAUUUUUUGCUCCACCAACUUUACCAGCCAAGUGCUUAAAUUUCUUCCAUUUCAACUUCAGAUAUUUAACACCAGCGCUUGGAUGCAAAAGGCUUACCAUAUCGACCAUACCAGAACAACUUGCGUUACUUUCACUGUUCUGUAAUAAGCUACUUCUAGAAGCCUUGCUAUAUAGCUGACCAUCUGCAUUAUUUACUAAUUGCUGAUAUCCAGGAACUUCUGUGAACAGUCGCUGGGGCAUCUGCAAGCAUGCUAAAAGAAUUUUACUGGUCAGUUGAAGUUAGAGGCAGUUUAUAUUUUAAUAAAUAAUAAUAAUAAUAAUUAUAAAGCAUAUAACAAUACAAACAAAUGAAAUUAGUAUAGCUGGGGUUCUAGACAUCUGUGGGAUCCUUCAAAUGAACAUAAUGUUCAGGUUUGUCAAAAAGGAAUUUGGAUCGAAAUAACAUUCGUAACAAAACACCUGAAAGUUUCCGAAAUCAUCCUCAGAAAAGCAUAAAAAAAAUUGGCAUGCAUAUGAAAGUAUGCAAUGUCUUCAUGUGACUUAGCAUGUGCACACGCAGAUAUGCGUGCGAGCAAGUGAGAUUUCGGCAGAGAGAAAUAUUGACAAAGGACGUAAAGCAAAGAAGAGGAUAAAAGGUAUUCCGGGAAAAGAGCUCUAGUUUACCUGUACAAUCAAAAUUUCGCUUCUUGAUGAAUGACGGUCUUGAAUUCAGCCAAUACUCCUCAGUGAUCUCUCUAAAAUUCUUGAAUAUCUGUCUUCCAUGACAGGUUGCAAUACUCUCUGGAUGGAACUGUGAGGGUCACAGAUAAAGUCAAGAGAAUAUUGCACGUAAAAGCAGAGCCCAAAUAAUCACAAAUACAAUGAACAUGCAACACACCUGCACACCAUAAUGAGGUCUGGUAGAAUGCAUAAUGCCCAUGAGAACCUUUACACUCUGCAUUUUUCCAGAAUGACUGAAAGGCGAAUAACUUCCAUUUUUCAGUUUCUCUGAAAAAUAUCCCACAGCAUAUUCCAAGGAAAAAUCAGACUUCUGGGUUUCGAUGAAAGAAAGUGCAUCCAUGGAGGAAGUCCAUGCUAUAGGAAUGAGUUCAUCUGGAAGUGAUUCAGCAUCUAUGACAAGUGAAUGGUACCGAACCACCUGAAAUUAGGUAAAGUCGUAUGGCUAAGCAUAGUUAAGAAUAAGUUUCACAAUCACCCCAAAAGGUCCAUGGUAGCAAAAGCAUGCACUUUCAGCAAAACCACAUUAAAACAUUAGAGUUUCAAGAAACCAUCUUUAACCUUCUCCAGUUUUUAAGUUUUUUUUCUUUUUACCUGAGGAAUGACUAACUUUGGUUCUGCAAAAAAACAAAGAUGGGAUUUUGAAAGUACGUGACCUUAGUUAAAUAUUAAUCAUAACUCAAAUACAUGAUUGCAAUGUGUCUCGAGUUCAAAUGAAAACUUAAUCUUAGUGGACUUUAAAAAAGUGAAUGUAAAUGCACAAAUUAAUUACUAAUCACAUAUUCUUCCCAGAGAAAAUGGUUUUCAACAUCAUAGUAUACAGAACAGAAUCAUCUGGAUUGAACAUUAGAAUUCUCAACAAUUACCUAUUGUAAACUGGAAAUACUAAAUUAUUUUUUCCUAUGAUGAUUAACUUUUAGCAAGAUAUGAAAAUUCAAAAAAACAGACCGAUGUCAUAGAUCCAGCUAGAAAUAUAUGACAUCUUUCAAGGAUACCCCUACCAUGGUACAGCUAACUUAAUUACAAUAUACAAGAUUGCAAAAAACCAAUGAUCUUUCAGUUGAAGAAAAGACUGACCUUGAAUCCUGAAUCGUGACCAGAAGGGAUGUCAUUGAAAAGUCUGCACCCAUUGUGCUCAACUUCGCUGUAUUGGGGAAAAGGAAAGAGUAGAAAGUUAAAAAAAUGGAACCUACGGGAAACAACAAAAUAACUAUACCAAAGCUUCAAUCCAAAAUUUCAAUUAUAAAGCAUAUUUCCAAUUAGUCAUGACUAGAGAUAUAUAAGAAAAAAUAUGCACCAAUUAGAACCAAAAUCUUGUAACAAAACAUAACAAUACCUCAACCGCCCAUGGACUGGUUCAGGUGCGUGGACAACUUUAGCACCAUGCACAUAACCUAAAGCCUGUUCAACCAAAGGCAUCCGGGAGAAUCAACAUCACUUGGCAUGUAUAUAUGAUUUUAGGAGUAGCAUUUAGAGUCACAUAGUUGAUUUAUUGUACUCUUCCCUAAACGAUCUUAUUUUGUAUGUAACUAUUUCAAAUUCUAGUUAAGCAUCUAGGUACGUUAGAAGAAGAAAAAACAGAAGUAUAAAACCAAAAUACCUGAUGCCCAAGACAAACACCCAAAAUAGGGAUAUCCCAGCAGUCAAGCAGCACCUGAAGACAUAUGCCUGACAGAUUCAAAUAGUUUCUAAAUGAAAUAAUCAUAAAAAGCUUUAGCAUUUAAACCAGACGGAAAAAAAGGGCUGCAAAAGAACUCUAAGAGAAAGAAAAACCAACAGAGGAGAAACAUAUAUGCGCGGUGCAUAUAGAUAAUCUAAAACAUGUUGAAAACUAUUGAGAGUGAUGCCUAUCCUGUUAGUCUGCAGCAUAAGGGCUAUCAACAUAAAGCCUUCAUCUUUCUAUUUUUGGCCCAGAUGGAAUUCAGAAGUAACAAAUAACACAAAAAGAAGAUAGUUGCUGAACUAUUGCAUAUGUGCUUCUAGUCACUAUUCUACCAUACAUCGUGGAAAUAAGCACGGAAGUAGCAUGGCAAAGAUAAAUUCACUUCUGAAAAACUCACCUAUGUCUGCUGGACAUGUUGGCGAACCAGGUCCAGGUGAUAUAACAACAUUGUCAAAAGCAUUUUCUUCAUACAAGUAAUAGUGGAUGUCUUUCCAUGUCAAUUCAUCAUUCCGCACGACCACAGGAGGCACUGGCGCAAUUAGAAGCCAAAAUGUCAGAGCCAACUUUUGGUAGGCUAACAUCAAAUAUAGUUUUUAUUUUCCUUCACCAGGUUAUAGAUGAUGCAAACAUUUUGCCCUUGGAAAUAAUAAACGGACACAGGACAUACAUAAUUCGAUACAUAUAGACAGGGGAAGGGGUUAGAGUAAAACGUACCCCCAUUAAUGACAGACAGCUCCUGGUAUAUAUUGUAAGUGUAGCUGUCAUAGUUGUCAAUCAACAAUGUCCUCACAAAUUCCAGCUUCCACCCAGGUUCCUUGAGGUUAUUCUUUCCCACAUAUGAUCCAUUUAAGCACCGAGGCAUCAAAUUGGUAGACAUCACGAGCUUUCCAGCAUCAUGAUUAGAUACUUGAGUGUUAUCCUUCUUAUUGAACUUAUCAACCUUCACAAAAGGUUCAGACUCUAGCAUAUUCUUGUUUGUAUAUGGCAACCCCUCAACCAAAGGGUAUCUGAGCUCGGAAGAUGACGAACACAAAGUGAAAUUCAUUUUCGUACGACUGAGAAUGUUAAAAUCAUACACAAGGGCCCAAACCAGAGCUUCUGCAACACAAAAAUGCACAGAGUUAAAUAUUCUUUUUCCUGUACUCCAAGAUUAUUCUUUUUCCAGCAUCCCCAAUUAAAUGGGUUGAUAACAACAAUUUACUCACCACUCUUAACUACUCCACUGAAUGCACAAAAGUUAUAGUUAAUACACCUUGACAUGUUAACAACAGUUUACUACACUAUAACACCUGGAAUGCCAUUUCUACCACCGCACUAACUGUCGUUGGAUGAAUGUAAUUUUUAAUCAUAUGCUAAUGAAUCUUGAAAUUUAAACUCAUCCAGCGACAAUUGAUGCAAUGGCAAUGCUAAAAAAGAUGCUAUCUUUAGUGGUGACUGCUUAAAAAGAUGCUAUCUUUAGUGGUGACUGCUAAACCAAUGAACCAAAUGGGUUCACUUCCUUCACAAAAUACAAAUGUGGAAUAAUGAAAUAUGUGACAAAUAUGUAGCUGACAUGACAUGUGAAAUUAAUCGUAGGAAGCUAAAGAAAAUUACUUUCAAGUCAAUAAUCCCAUGCUUAAACUACUAUCAUUUAUUCUGCCGGCCAAAAAAAUCCCAGAAAGCAAAACAUAAACUUGCAGAGACAGGAAAAACAAAAGAAGAAGAAGAUGCGAAGAUAACCUCAGAUAGUCAGAUGAGAAGAUAACCUCAGAUAGUUAGGGACCUGCAAAUACUUGUGAAGUUUGUUGGGUUAUGUAUUUAUAACUUAAGAGAGAGAGAGAGAGAGAGAGAGAGAGAGAGAGAGAGAGAGAGAGAGAGAGAGAAAUCGUUGGGUUGGUGAUGAAAUGGGCCCCGGUUGGUGGUGGUGUAGAUUGGACGAGACAGAGAGAGAGGAAGAAGAAGAAGAAACGGAAAGGAGGGAUGUGGGACCCACGAGCACAAACUCGAUACGGACAGAGAAAAGGGAGGCGGAAGGAUCACGAUUCAUAUUGUGGAGGGGAAAUCCUGGGCCGCAUGUUGCGGCUUGCUUGGCUGCGACUUGGUCCUCUCCUUCCUUCGAGUUCAAGACUUCCAAAGCCGAAGGGUGGGCGGGCGCAGAGCACCGUUUUACUAUUUUGUUUGGUUUAUGUUUAUCAGGAGGCUAUACCUUUUUAUUUUAUUAUUAUUAAUAUUUUUUAUGACAGGGAUUGGACUGGCAGUCUGGCACUUGCAAAUAUAUUUGAAAAUUUUAACAAAAAAUUUCUGAUAAUGUUUAUUUUAAUGAAAAAUUAUAUUUUUAUAUUAAAAAAUUAAUUAUGAUAUUAUUUACUUUACCUUUUAUUUUGUUCUUAUGAACAUAAUAUGUAAAUAUCUAAUUAGAUCUGGUUGCCUAAUAAUUCAACGGUCUGUUUUAUAAACGAGACUUAUAAAAGGUGUACUCUAGUUCUUGGUUAUUAUAAUUUCGAUUUUUACUAGAUAUACAACUAGAACUAGUGCAGAUGAUCCAAACACCAUUUUCCAUGGCCGAUCCCUCCGCAUGGUCGACUUCGUCAAAUGUUAAGCGCUUUAGCAUUUGUCAAUUGCAACCUAAACAACGUGCUUUACUAUGCGUGGGGAAGUGCCUGGCAAGCUUCAUAAUGUUAACGUUGAUGAUCAAGCAAUUCACUAUUGAAAUUUGGUUGCGCGCUUGUCUAGUGUGAAACAUAUGGCGACGGUAUAUACUCUUCUUUUUCUUUCUCUCUAUCGUUUAGUCAAUUCCGUCAUAACAUUAUUUGUGUUAACGUUAACCAGUUAGUAAAUAAAUAAGAUGCUAACGACAGUUAGUGUUUUAUCUCCUCAGAUAAAGAGCACCUGCAAAGGUGUAUGCAACAUUGCUCCAACAAUCACUGCGUCUUCAAGUAUCUUUCCCCUCUUCCAUAAUUGCUGCAAUAGUGCUUCUGCAACAUCAAAGCUCCUAGCCUUCAUAUAUGUACAAUAUAUCGAAGUGGUUGUAUUGAAAUAAGUCUAUGAUCAUUAUAUCAUGGAAGGGAUUGCUCCGACAGUGCUUCUGCAUACAUAAUUUGUAUACAAAACCUUACAAAUGGCAAAUUUUGUAAAUUUGACAUCAAAAUUUGGGCUAUAUUUAGUUACAUGGAUUGUCUUUAGGAAGCCAAAUCCCAAUAUGAAAUUAUUAGCCAUGUGCAAUCUACCCAAGAAAAACAAAAUUGAACAAAAGUACAUCAUAUUAUAGUUAUUGCGUUAUGUGAAACUCUAUAAGACUGACUUGGAUUUUAGUUUCAAUCAUGUCUUGUCUCAAUCCUGAUAUUGCUAAAAAUGUAAGAAAUUGAUAUAUAUGUUUUUCUUUGAUUAAAAUUUUCCCCUAACAAAAACGCAUAAAAUUAAAACUAAGAAAAGAUAAUUGUUCAUACAAAUGGGGAGAAAAGCUUCAAGCUUUGUAAAUUUGGCAAUAGUUAGGUGAAUGAAAUGAAUUAGACCAUCUCUAAGGGAGAUGUUAAAUUUUGACAGCUUAUGUGGCACUUUGACAUCUUUUAAAGUAUUGUUCUCCAACCAAUAUAUCAAAUUAAAUUAUUAUUUUAUUAUUUUAUAAAAUAAAUUAUUAAACUAAUUAAAAUGUAAUAAAGGACAUUUAAAGUUUAAUCAGUAAUCUGUUCACCUUCUUUAAUUGAAAAGAAGAAGAAAAGUAGGAUAAUUUCAUUGGUCAACUCAACAUUAAUUAUAAUAAAUUAUUAAACUAAUUAAAAAUUAAUAAAAUACAUUUAAUAAUUAAUAAAAAAAACAUUUGAAUCUGCUAUCAAAUUUGACAGCAACCUCUUUUGCUGCCAAUCCAUGUCAUCGCCACAUAAGAUUUGGCAUUUCAGUUGGAGAAUAUUAGUGUGGUUUUUUUUUUACUGUUAUAGUUGAUGUGUAUAUUUUGGCAUCUCCUUUGGAGAUGCUCUUAGGCUUCAAAUGAAAACAAAAUCUGUAAUAAAUUUUACAAUCUUCUUCAAUUGGAGUUUUCUUCAAACUGUAUGAACCAUUUAUGCCAUUCCAUUACUAGUCAUGAGAUUCUCUAAGUUAUGAAUGAAAUUUGUAAAUAUCUAAUCAGAUUUACUUGACUAAUAAUUCAAUGGUAGGUUUAGAAAACGUGAUCUAUAAUAGGUGUACUCUAGUCCUUGGUUUAGUCUCAUAAGUGAAAUUUUCAUAACAUUUCGCAAAAUGGCAAAAAAUGUUCAAGCAAGCAUCAAUAUGGUAAUUUUGUUUUCUUAUUGGAUAUACAACUAAUGUCGAUGAUAGUUGUUUGCUACCUCAACUGUGCGUUACACUAUGCUUGGGGAAGUGCCCUGGUCAGUGUCAAGUUAAUGUGAAUGAUCAUGCAAUUCACUACUACAAAAUUGCUUGCUUGCUUUAGUAAUGUUCCAAAUAUGCCAACAAUAUAUACCUUCAUUCUCUCUCUCUCUCUCUCUCUCUCUCUCUCUCUCUCUCUCUCUCUCUCUCUCUCUCUCUCUCUCUCUCAGUAUUGUGUUAGCAUCAACAAGUUAGUAAAUAAAUAAAAUGCUAACCAUACGUAAAUUUUUAUCUCCUUAGAUGAAGAGAAACUGCAAAGGUGUAUGGAAACACUGCUCGAACAAUCACUGUGCCAUAUCUCUUCCAUGAUUGCUUCAACAAAUGCUUCGAUCGGUAACAUCAAAGCUCGUAUCCCUGUAUAUAUGUUUGAGCUUGAAAUCUCAAAUUAGGGUAAGAAAGAGUAAGCCUAGUAAGAAGACUGCAAAUUUCAGCCCAAUAAUGAAAUUUGCUGACUAGUGGUGCAGGGCUCGGCUUAAUGGUAAAAUACUGAUGGCUCGACUGAGUCCUAGGAAAUCUGAGAUUGUUUAAGAAUUAGGAUUAGAUUGUGAUUCGGUAUAGCCCAACAAAGUAGGUUUGUUGAGGAAUCAAGAUGGUUUCUUUUUAAGUAAAACUAAUGAAAAGGGCUUGAAAACUUUGAGUUUUAAUGAUAAGGACAAAAUAGAGGGUAAAGUGAAUAGUACCAGAAUUGACUUUUUAGUGUAAAAAUGUGGUUUUUCGUUAAAAUGAACAGUACGGGUGCUUUUCGUUAAAGUUCCCUUCUUUUUAUGAAAUCUGAUUAAGUUGUUUAAGGAUAAAAAAAUCAAGGUUGUAUAAAGAACGAAUCGGUCGCAUAAAGAGACUAAACUAAGAGUCUUAGUUCAGAAUGUUUAUCAUUCCAUGUAACAUAGAAACCUCCAUACGGGUCAAGUUCGGUUAGGGUUUGGGUCAGGAUCGGAGAAUGGUAAUAUCAUCACUGUUUCUUAUACAACUUGAAUUUGUUAUUAUCAAACUAAACAUGGUAAAUACCAAAAAUAUAUAUGUGAUAAUAUUUGGGAAUUUUUUAUAUAUUCAUUAAUCUCCAAAGUGGAGUAUAUAUAGGAGUUACAAUUGGUAUUACAUAUGCAUUUCGUCAAUGUGAGACAACUGAUUACUAUUUACACUUUAACUAAUAUAUAACUCACAACACUCCCCCUUAAGUUGGUGCAAAGAUGUCACGCAUGCCCAACUUGUCAAGCGAGUUGGAAAACACACUAUUAGACACAGUCUUAGUAAGUACAUUAGCGAGUUGAUCUUCAGAUCCCACAAAUGGAAACAUAAUAAUUCCAGCAUCUAAUUUUUCGUUGAUGAAAUGUCGAUCAAUCUCCACAUGUUUUGUUCAAUCAUGUUACAUUGGAUUAUGAGCAAUCUCAAUAGCAACCUUGUUAUCAUAGGGGAGUUUCAUAGCACCCUUGGGUUUAAAUCCAAGAUAUAUCAACAAUUUUUUCAACCACAACAACUCACAUACACCAUGAAACAUACCACGAAACUCAGCUUCAGCACUUGACCUAGCCACCACUUUUUGUUUCUUGCUUCUCCAAGUAACUAGAUUACCACCCACAAACGUAAAGUAUACAGAUGUAGAUCGCUGAUUAGUGAUAGAACCUGCCCAAUCUGCAUCUGUAUACCCUUCGACAUUCAACUAACCAUUCUUGGAGAAAACCAAGCCUCUGCCAGAAGCCAUCUUCAAGUACCUCAAAAUACGGAUUAUUGCAUCCAUAGGAGCUUCACUAGGUGAGUGCAUAAACUAACUUACCACACUAACUGCGUAAGCAAUGUCAGGGCGAGUGUGAGACAAAUAAAUUAAUCUUCCCACAGGCCUCUGAUAUUGUUCCUUAUGAGUAGGAACUUAAUCCGAAAAUAAGCCUAGACGAUGAUUCUGCUCAAUCAGAGUAUCAACAAGUUUACAAUUUAACAUACCUGUUUCAUCUGACAAAUCAAGAACAUACUUCCGUUGAGAAAAAAAAAAUACUAUGCUUGAAUCGUGCAACCUCGAUUCCAAGAAAAUACUUCAAUUCACCCAAUUCUUUCAUUUCAAAUUCAGCAGCUAUGUACUUUUGAACGCAUUGUAUCUCAUUCUGAUCAUCACCAGUCACUAUCAUGUCAUCAACACAAAUAAUCAUUGCAGUUAGCUUACCAUUUUGUCGCUUUAGAAACUAAGUAUGAUCUGAAUGACUCUGGACAUACCCAAACUUCUUCAUUGAACUUGUAAACCUCCUAAACCAUGCUCUAAGAGAUUGUUUCAAACCAUACAAAGCCUUUCGCAACCUGCAUACAACACAUUUUCCAGGAGAUGUUCCGAUACUAAGUGGGAGAGCAAUAUAAACUUCAUCUUUGAGAUCACCAUGAAGGAAAACAUUCUUAACAUCAAACUACAACAGAGGCCAAUCCUGGUUUGCUGUUAAGGACAGAAGAACACGCACAAUAUUAAGUUUGGCAACAUGAGCAAAAGUCUCCUAAUAGUCCACCCCAUAGGUUUGAGUACAACUCUUAGCAUCUAAUCUAGCUUUAUACCAGUCAAUAGAACCAUCUGCUUUGUGCUUAAUAGUGAACACUCAUCUACAUCUAACAACUUUCUUCCCGUUUGGUAAAUGAACCAAAUCCUAAGUGGAAUUCUUUUCCAAAACUUCCAUCUCAACUCUCAUGGCAUUAACCCACUUAGAGUCAGACAAAGCACCAUGCAAUUUUGUUGGAAUUGAUACAGUAGAUAGCUGACAUAUGCAAUAUGCAUAUGGUUUGGACAAAUGAUAAGUAGACAUAAUUGUUGAUAGGAUAUUUGGCUUUGGCAUUAAUAUCAGGCUCAUAUUGUACUUUAGGUUUUCCACGAUUAGCUCGUAGAGGCAACUGAUAAGUAAAAGAAUUGUCAAAAUUUACUUUUUGUAUGUCACCAUCUUGUGCCAAAACUGUUAGAAGAAUCAUCACUGGUCGAACCAUCAUCAGGAAACUCAUUAGACAUACUAGCAGCAUGCAACCAAUCAUUAGAAGGUAAUUUGUCAGACAUACUAACAGGUAACUCGUUGGGCACAUCUGAUCUGUCAUCAGUAGCAAUAGUUUCGGGAAUGACAGGUGACCAAUCAUUAUCUAUAGCCAACUAAUCAGUAUCACGCAAAACGCAACAUAAUAAGUUAUAUCCCCAACUCUGUCUGUAACACAUCAUCCAUACCAUAUCAUCGAAUAUGCACUUCACUCCCACUAUCCCCUUGAAAUUGAGAGUCGGAAGAGGGCUUCACAAAAUACUAAACUUCCUCGUGGAAGGUAACAUCCAUGGUAAUAUAAAUUUUCUAAGUCGGAGGAUGAUAACAUUUAUAGCCUUUCUGAUUGUUAGCAUACCCAAUAAAUACACGUUGAAGAGCAUAUACAUCAAGUUUACUCCGCUGAUGAGAGUAGACAUACACAUAGGCAAUACACCCAAACACCUUCAGAUGAGGUUUUGAUACAGAAACUAGAUAAACAUGUUUUUGUAGCACAUCAAGCGGUGUUUGAAAACCAAGAACCCUACUUGGAACACGAUUUUUUAAAUACACAACAGCCAAAAUAGCAUGGCCCCACAAAUGAUUAGGAACACAUUUAUCCAACAUCAAGGAGCAAGCAACCUCCAUUAUUUGACGAUUCUUCUGUUUGGACACACCAUUUUGUUGGGGUGUAAAAGAAGUAGUCGUCUGGUGAAUAAUACCUUGAUCACAAAAAAAACAUGCCAAAGUGUGAUUCAUAUAUUCUCAUCCGUUAUAAGACCUGAAGACUUUAACUUUGGUAUGAAACUGAGUAGACACCAUUGCACAAAAUUCUUGAAGAGGCAAAGGAACAUUACUCUUAUUCUUCAUCAAGAACACCCAAGUUAAUUGAGUACAAUCAUCAAUAAAAGUAACAAACCAAUGUAAUCCAUUAGAAGUAACCUUUGUCGGACCCCACACAUCAGAAUGUAUUAAAUCAAAUGGCAAAGUAGCUUUAGAAUCACUUAUGGGAAAGGAAGCACGAUGACUCUUAGCCAUGACAUAUGUUUCACACUUGAACUUUGAAUCACUACAAGUGUGAAACAAAGAAGGAAAUAGAUGCUUCAUAUAACUGAAUGAUGGAUGUCCCAAUCGUCAAUGCCAUAACCAAAUUUGAUGUCUGUCAUCCACUUUAGCACUUAAAACUUGAUAAUUAUUUGAACCGGAAACAGCAGCAUCCUUCAUAGUCAAGACGUACAAACCCCCUAUUCUUUUACCACAACCCAUUAUCUUAUGAAUUUGAAUGUUUUGAAAAUAACAGUACGUAGAGUAGAAGUGAGUAUAACAAUAUAAGGUAUCAAUUAGUUUUCCUAUCGACAAAAGAUUUCACUUAACAUCAGGAACAAGUAAAGCAUGGACCAAUGAUAAGGUUGGAGUAAGAGAGAUAGUGCCUUCACCCUUCACAGGGGAAGGUGCUUCAUUUGUACUAGUAAUAUACAGAUCACGAAUAUAGUCACAUAACUCAUCAAACACUCUAGGGUCACUAGUCACAUGAUUAGUGGCCCCAGUGUCAAUUAUCCAUAUAUUUGUUCCACUAAGAUGCAUAACAACACUAUAAUUAUAUUGAGCCAUUGAACUAAAUCAUGAACAAUAAAGGCACAAAAGAUAAGCAACGAAAUGAAAAAAAUUUACCAUAACACUGUAGCAGAUCACUGUUCACACACUGUAGCAGCAAGGCUCUAUUCGUUAUACUAUAGCGCGGCAUUAUUCACUUUCUUUUUAUUUAUUUUUUAAACGAAGGAAAUCAUGACAAAUGUGGGCACAAAAUUAAAGCACACAUGUCACCAAGAGCGAAGUGCUCUAAUGCCAUGUCAAACUAAACAUGGUAAAUACCAAAAUAUAAGGAAAACUAAUGAAAAGGGCUUGAAAAUUUUGAGUUUUAAUGAUAAAGAUAAAAUAAAGGGUAAAGUGAAUAGUACCAGGAUUGACUUUUUAGUGUAAAAAUGUGGUUUUUCGUUAAAAUGAACAGUACCGGAAGCUUUUCGUUAAAGUUUCAAAAAAUAUAUAUAACAAUAUUUAGGAAUUUCUUAUAGAUUCAUUAAUCUCCAAAGUAAAGUAUAUAUAGGAGUUACAAUUGGUAUUACAUAUGCACUUCGUUAAUGUGGGACAACAUACUACUAUUUACACUUUAAUUAAUAUAUAACUCACAAUACAAUUCCCAAGUUCGGUUGGGGUCGGGUAUCCCAGGAAACCAUAUCAUGCCGUGCAGCUGUGGAGCCUUUUACCAUCCUAUUAAUCAUUAUCGACUUAUCAAAGAUUCCUUGCUGAAAUACUUCAUCGUUAAAGAGAUUAUUUGUUGUAGUGUAUAUUUGUUUGGACCCGAUUUUAUACCAUUGGCCCAAGCGAUCGAGGCUGUUGAGUGAGCAUAGUUCUUAACCGUCAGUUAAGAUAAUUUGCUAUUAUUAAGAGAUAAUAUUAUGGUUUUUAAUCAUAAUAAUUAUAUUUUAAUAAAUUAUCUCAAUUUUCUUGUGCAAAAUGAAUGGGAUGCAAAUCAUAACCUCAACGUAGAGGCAAGCAGAACAGUCUGAGUUAAUGUGGAUUUGUUAGCAGUGUACUAUGUGAAUUAGAGCAGCUUGGCUUGGACUCUUCACGUGGCAUAACAUGGCUCUGCAAGUUUUGGAUAAUGGUGAAUAGAAAACCUAAGUAGGUUAGGUUGUUUGAUGGAUGUUGUCAGACGGAUAGGCUUUUGGAUGGGUGAUGGGUUAGGUUUUUAUUAGCUUUGAAAAGUCAACCAUUUGAAGAUACGCUUUAAGCCUAUGCCACAUAUCAGUUUGAGUUUAAGUCGGUUUCUGCUUAUUAUCCAGGCCGUGCCAAUCAUAAAAUUUGUUCCUAUAAAUACAGAGGCAAUGGCAACGCAUGAAGGACCACCAACUCAACAUAUAAACUACCCUGCGCAAACCCUCGCUCUAUGCGAAACCUCUCAAACAUCUUGAGAUUUUUUAUUUUGUUUUUCGCCAACACGUCUUCAAUUUGGAUAAACAGCAUUGUGAAGGCAACCGGCGAACAUCUUCAAUUUGGAUAAAUAACAUUGUUGCCGUAGAAUCAACCGACCGCGGAGCACCUUCAGUUUGGAUAAACAGCACUGCGUCGAGGCCGACUGGUUAUCUAUCCAAGUCUCGGUCGAAAAAGAUUUUCAAAUCCUUAUUGGCAGACGUCAUCUCAUUAGCUUUUUCGGUGAAGUGAGGUGUUACAAGUUAUUACAUUCGGCACAUUGAAAGCCGAAUUUGAUAUUGAACUUCGCAGAACUAGCAGCCUUGUCUUCAGGCUCUAGAACCCGAUGGCCGAGAGUGUUCAUUCCUCGGACACAGUCGCGAGAUUCAGAAGUCAGCAGCGCACCCAACGCAACAUCAACAAAUUUUACUCCUCGGCUAACGAGUUAGCUCAUUAGUUACUCUGCCUGCGCGCCAUGUAAGCUUGGUAGUUUUUAGAGUCAACAUUUUGGCACGCCUAGUGGGACCAAGUGCUAAAACUACGAAGUUCACAUGAUAUAUCUCGAUCAGGCUUCCUGGGAUGAGUUGCAUCGCCUAUUAAAGGAGCAAAAACAAUGCUUCGAGAGAUGGGGUAGAUUUUCUAAAAGGCAAGAGGCCCAGGGGCAAAUUUUCGCUCCGCCCACAAUCAAAAUUCAGCCUCAGAACAUUGUCGAGACGGCCGAAGAACUUAGGCCACUUGUUGUUUCGAUCGAGACUAAAAGUAUGGUAGGCCUAGAAGAAAAAAUUCAAGUUUCUGAGCCACAAAUUGACUUAGACAAUGAUUCGUCAGAAAACUGUUCCAAUGACGAACAAGACCAAUUCAUGGUUUCAGCUGAACAAACCACGCCAAUCGAUAUGAUUAUUGAUGAUACAGUUGAUAUGGAGAAAUCUCGUUAGGCUAAGUUGUUCGAGUUGAAAGCCGAAAUUGGCGAAGUAAUUAUGCUUGGGGGGCAUAAUAAUUGUUUAACCACACAUUCAGCGGCCGAAAAUGAAAAAUAUUUAACCAAGGUAGAAAUAUUUGGAGAAAAUUCUUUAUUCGGCCUAGAGCGAAAUCAAUUUGAGAAUUUUGUUAUUAGAAGAUCUCGGCUUGGAAUAAAGCAUCGUUGGCCUCCUCCUGACUAUGGUUCAACCACUUUUCUUUUCAUUUGUUAAAUAUAUAUGUUAUUUUCUUAAACAUAUGGCUAUGCAAGCCGAUGUAAAGAAAAUGAAGGGCAGACAUUAUAGGCUAAGUCUCAAUAAGCUUCUCCAAUGAAGGCCUGAUGCUUGGUGCAAUACUGGCCUGAUGCUUGGUGCAGUACUAGCCUGAUGCCGUGCAGUGUACAAUUUGUUUGAAAUUUAAAGCCAACAUCAUUAUGGCCCGAUGCCGUGUGUGCAUGUGUGUGUGUGUCUAUAUAUAUAUCCUAAAUGGUGGCCUGAUGUCGUGUGUGUAUGUAUAGAUCCUAAAUGGUAGGCCAUUGUUUAGUGGUCAUCCAACUUUAUGAUUUCCAUUGUUGCUGCAUCCUUUCUUGGGGCAGGUAAGCAGAGAGAUUUGAUGUGACUGAAAUACGGUGAUAUUAUCAGAAUCCAUUCGGUGGAAUAGUCUUGGCAAAAUAAAUAAAUAAAAAUUGUAGUGAUGUGUUUGUCGAGCUCAACGGGGUUCACUUUGUUUCUGCUUACCUUCAUUCUAAGCUUCUCAACCUCGGCUCAGUGUGUAUAUAAAUAUAUAUAUAUAUGCAGGCCGAGCUGCCAAGAAAAAUUCUUCUCGACCUCGGUGUAGUUUUUCUCAGCCUAAGCCCGCUUUACCCUCGACCCCAAUUUUUUUUUCUACUCCUUCCCAAGUUCUUCUCGAACUUCUGACAAAGUUGCCGAGCCUGGUAUGGAGUUGUGGCAGUCGAGGAAGGUCGCAGCGUUGGCAGAACAUACAUGUUAUUACCGAGGAACAAAGUUUCUUUUUCGGCGAUUCGACGGGAUUUUGUUGGUUACAAACAAUUAAUUUCCUUAACCAUUCGGCUUAUGAGCCGAAACUUAAGGAAACUGGGGGCAAUGUUUGGACCCGAUUUUAUACCAUCGGCCUAAGCGAUCGAGGUUGUUGAGUGAGCAUGGUUCUUAAUAUUAAGAGAUAAUAUUAUGGUUUUUAAUCAUAAUAAUUAUCUUUUAAUAAAUUAUCUCAAUUUUCUUGUACAAAAUAAAUGGGAUACAAAUCAUAACCUCAACGUAGAGGCAAGCAGAACAGUCUGAGUUAAUGUGGAUUUUUUAGCAGUGUACUAUGUGAAUUAGAGCAGCUUGGCUUGGACUCUUCACGUGGCAUAACAGGGAUCUGCAAGUUUUGGAUAAUGGUGAAUAGAAAACCUAAGUAGGUUAGGUUGUUUGAUGGAUGUUGUCAGACGGAUUGGCUUUUGGAUGGGUGAUGGGUUAGGUUUUUAUUAGCUUUGAAAAGUCAACCAUUUGAAGAUAGGCUUUAAGCCUAUGCCAUAGACCAAUUUGAGUUUUAGUCGGUUUUUGCUUAUUAUCCAGGCCGUGCCAAUUAGAAAAUAUGGUCCUAUAAAUACAGAGGCAAUGACAACUCAUGAAGGGCCGCCAACUCAACAUACAAACUGCUAUGCGCAAACCCUCGCUCUACGCGAAACCUCUCAAACAUCUUGAGAUUUUUUAUUUUCUUUUUCGCCAACACAUCUUCAGUAACAGCACUGUGAAGUCAACCGGCAAAUAUUUUCAGUUUGGAUAAACAACACUGUUGCCGUAGAAUCAACCUACCGCGGAGCACCUUCAGUUUGGAUAAACAGCACUGUAUCGAGGCUGACUGGUUAUCUAUCCAAGUCUUGGUCAAGAAGGAUUUUCGAAUCCUUAUUGGCAAAGGUCAUCUCAUUAGCCUUUUCGGCGAAGUGAGGUGUUAUAAGUUAUUACAUUCGGCACAUUAAAAGUUGAAUUUGAUAUUAAAUUUUGCAGAACUAGUAGCCUUGUCUUCAAGUCGAAGGCCGAGAGUGUUUCUUCCUCGGUCGCAGUCGCGAGAUUCAGAAGUCAACAACGCACCCAACGCAACAUCAACAAAUUUUACUCCUCGGCCGACGAGUUAGCACGCCCGCAUACAACCGAAGGACAUAGUUAACUCAUUAGUUAUUCGGUCUGCGCGCCACGUAGGCUUGGUAGUUUUUAAAAUCAACAAUACUGUAUUUGGGCAUCACGUGCAAAAAAGGGCAUCCAUUCACAUCGAUAGAGUCGAGCAUUUAUAUGCAUAUUUUGUGUAUUCAAAAAUGGCAGCUCCGCACAGGGAACUGAGGGAAGAAAGGGCCCGUUCGGAGUACUCUGAACUCAGUGAUUGAUUUUGAGUUUUGAUCACGUGGGUAAAAUAAGAGUCUUCAUAUCUGUGGUCAGUAGUCUAGAGCUGAGACGGCUCUCUUGACCAUAAUAUGGAUACUGCAUGUUGGACUAGAAAGUAGUACUAAAUUAUAAUUAUUUGGAUUGAGAAAUGAUAGAUGUUAAUAGAAUGUUCGAUUAUGCAUGGGUGCACCAUGCACCUAUAUAAGAAGAAUAGGACUUAAAUGAGAAAUUUUUUAAUUUUCUCUGAGCUUCUGUUUCUUCCACCAUAGCUUCCGCAACUCUGUUAUGAUUCAUCUGUCAUUUCUCACGUCUCACGCAAAGACUUCUUCUAGACUAAAUACAUGUACUCCCUCAUUUUACAUUUAUAGAUCUGAAAAAUGACUUAACCCUUUUCACACUGCUCACUAUCUCGAUUUUAGUCGCAUGCUAAGUAUUGGCACUGUUCUAAAACUCAGCCUAAACAGCCGCCUGGUUACUUAACCCUUUUCACACUAAUCUCUAGCUUGAUUUUAGUCACGCACUAAAUAUUUUAUAUAUACUAAAACCCGGUGAAAAAACACUGUUCAUCAACAGUGCACGGGCUGAGAUGCCCUUUGCUUCCUUUGUGUUCUGAUUUUUUCUGACCAUUUUACCCUUUUACUAACAGUGCACGGGCGGUGCUGUAUUGCUUUGGGUCUCUUUCUCUUCUCAUUUUUUCAUUGCUUUUCUUUACCCACGUGUCCACCAUUCCCUUGCCACGUGUAUCCUGGAAUGGUACGCCUUGGAUCUCUGGAAUUUUCUUUCGGUUUCCAUUUCCUUCGUUCUAUUAUACUUGUUAGCACUAUUCGCAAAUAGUCUUUUACCACAUUGAUGGAAUGGUGUUGAGUCUUUACAUGAUGAUGUGGGUUCAAACCUCGUCGAUAGCUAAUCUAACAAAAUUUAUUGCUUGACAAAAAAAAAAAAUAUUGGCACUAGUCUAAAAAUCGGUCUAGGCGGCGGAAGACUGAUGCGAUUUAGGUCAUAACGUAGAGGAAAAUCGGGUAAGGGCUAGGCGCCCAUUGUUUUAAAAAAAAAAAAUUAAGUUAAAGGGUUUUCUGGGUAACCUACACAAAAACCCAUAGUAUUUCUCUAGUUGUUUUGUGUUUCUCAUCCCCUUGUCUCUCUACACAGAAGCGUUCUCUCUCUCCUCACAAACGGGUGUGAUGAUGCCAUGAUGACUUAAGUUUUAACUUUUCCAAAUUCUCAAUGUAAAUAUAUAUAUAUAUAUAUAUAUAUAUAGUGUAUGUGGGUACCUAUUUAUAUAUUAUAUGAUAAAUUGGACUAAAUCCAUAUAAUCUGCCUAGUUCACCUAGUCUCUCCCUUACUCGCCUAGUUACCUUGGCACUAAAUCUCAGCCUGCCAACCGACUGCUUAACGUCUUUUAAAACGUUACGUACUGAAAUUUUGCAUUUCCACUAUAAUAGUCUAAUUGAGGAAGUCAAGAAGGCUAAAAUAUGCUUAUUUUAUAUCUGGUUGCACGAAAAAGGCUUUAAAUGUAAACGUAUACAAGUAGACAUUAUUCCAACGCUCCAAGCCGCCUCAAGAUCUCAAGUGGCAUUAAACAUAUAAACAAUAAUAUGUCGGGGAAAAAAAUCCACAUGACAGUAAUAAAGUGUCACCUCUUAUUGACUUAAUUUCAUCAAUCUAUUCAACGAAUAAAGAAGACGAAACUUCCUCCAAUUUGGGUUUAUAAGAGAAUAAUUUAUGUCUAUAAUCUAUAUAAAUGCAUGCAGCAUCAUUCCCUCAUAUUGUAACUUGAUAGCUCUUUCUGCUACUUUGCUAAAAUCCGAUUCAGUUUAAGAGCACACAUCAAAUUUCCUGCUGCAUCAACCAUAUAUCAUGAAGUUCUUGCUUCCUUGCUCAAAGUGUUUCUCUUCACCUGGAAUCAUCGAUGAUAAUAGCACACACGGUAAAUAGAAAUUUAAAAUAGAAUUUCUGCUUUCUGUAGAACCGCGCUCUCAUUUUAUGGAUAUCUUUUGCUACCUAUCAUACUUCGUUUUUAUUUUUCCUCAUUGGUUGAUAAUAAAAAAAUUGAUUUUUACACACUCAUUUUCUUCUCAUGUGCACCCGUGUUGAUUUUUGGGCUUUGGAUUGAAUGAUGUAUAAAAAUAUUAAGGGAAGAAUUAAACAAAUGUGAGCAAAAAAAGAAUUUAAACAAAUGUGUGCAGAAGAAGAAAAUGAGUGUGUAUAAAUUAUUUUCCGCUCAUAAAACAUGAGAAUACGGAAGCCUGUUUGUUGAAGCACAUCAUAGUUCAAUUUGCCCUUUCAUUUUUCACUUUUGGGUUUCUUUGUAACCAGCAUUGAUGAUGUGAAUUGUAUUGCAUAUGCUAAUGAGAUAUUAACCUGUCCCACUUUAUCUAAUUUAUACUCUACGUUAAUUAGUAUUUUGAUAGAAGCGUGGAUCGUUCUUGGCUAUCUACUUACUAAAACAGGUGUACAAUUUCUUCAAAAUGUCCGCAACUUCAAAUACAAAGAAUUGAAAGUCGCCACCAACGAUUUCCAUCCAUCCAACAAAAUUGGUGAAGGCGGAUUUGGUUCUGUUUUUAAGGUAAUUUCUGCGUAUACGUUGAUUUUUUUUACUGUUGGAGUACUAAGAAAAGGCUGCUUGCAUUCUGAAUUUUUAUUAAUUUUCAAGUGCUUAUAAUUAAUUUUGGCUAAAUAGUAAGAACUCCUGUGGUUGAAUUACUGUAAAAGGGAAAACUUAAUGACGGAGUGGCCGUGGCCGUGAAAGUUCUUUCAGCUGAAUCAAAGCAAGGAGAUAGGGAGUUCAUGUCUGAGCUAGCUUCACUCUCCAGUAUUCGCCAUCAAAAUCUGGUCAAGAUGCGCGGUGGUUGUGUGGAAGGCCGCCGUAGAAUUCUUGUUUAUGAUUACAUGGAGCACAAUAGCCUCGCUCACAUCUUGCUAGGUAAACACAUAAAUUAACCUAGCUCCUUAUUAGUUUUCAUGCAUGAUGACCUUCCUUAUUUUCACCUUAUAUAUAAGAGUAGUUCCACCGUUGGAAACCCUCCUCCAGGCUAUUAACUAUGCUAUCCACCCAGUGAACAGUAAUUGCAUUCAAUGAACAGUAAUCGCUUUUUGCAUCUCCACCCCUAUACUGAAUAGCCCUGUCAAUUGGUAAUAAAAUAUUACUAUUUUUUCCUCACCCAUCCCCAUCACCCUUCCCCGUUUUCCCCUCAUUUGACCGAUUCUUCCUCUCUCUCCCUCUCUGUCUCUUUGUCUCUCUCUUUUCUUUCUAUCUCCCUCAUCCUUUUUCUUUCUUUCUCUCCCUCCUUUCCAGCUCACUCUUGUGAGCUCUCUUCCUUCUUCGUCUUCAAACCUUCCAAAUCAAGCUCAAAAAUAAUAUUUCUGGAAUCCCUGGAACUCAAGGAACCCAACCAUGGCCUUGCAUGUGGCAUCAGUGCAUGGUGCUAGGUCCUACCAUUGAAGCCGAGAGCUUGAGCUCUCAAUCCGUUUACCUCUCUGUCCUUCAUUCUCUCUCCUCGUCCUCCUUUUUUGUCUCUCCUGUUUGUUGCUCCAUCUCCCACCAGAUCCACCGCACGGGUGGUCAGAAUGUUGCAGGCCUUUGAAUCAGAGUCGGUGUCGUCGAUUUUAGUUGGAGAGAGAGUGAUUGUUUGAGACAAAAUAGAGGAGGAUGGGAAGCAAACGGAGACAAAGAAAGAGGAGAUGAAGGGACGCCAACGUCGGUGAGAAGAUCGGAAAGGGUGGCGUCAAUGCCGAUGGGUGCCUUAAUAAUGUGGCUUCUGUCACCCUGACGUCAGCCCACGUCAGAUAGCCUUCGGGCGCUCGGGCCGGCACGAAUCCACGGGCCUGGAGCUCGGGCCUGCUCGGGCUCGCUCGCCAGCCAACGUUGGACUUCCUCCCUCCGGCAAUCAAGCCCUGUUUUGCAGCCUGUCCCUCUAGCAGUUGCUCCCGCUGGAGCUGCUCUAAUAGCAGUAAACAUUAUGUUAAAAAUCAAAGGACGAGAAAAUAACAAAAAAGCGGAUUGAAACUAUGAUUCUUAUUUCAUUUACACAAAAGGAAAAAGAAGAUUAUAUAAAUUGUUAAACAAGGUUACAUAACAAAAAAUAACUAAUUAAAUUUUUGCAAAACAUAAUUCUUUUUUUUUCUCUUCUGAAAAUUAACAUUCAUUAAUCCGAAAAGAGGUUAUAGGUCAACUCAAAGAAAGACAAAAUAACCCAGAUGACACUUAGAUACACAAAAGCCUAGCCCAAUAAACAAAUAAACAAAAACUAAAACCCUAAUUCCUAUCCUCCAAGUGCAGAAAGCAACGCCUGCCUCCGAGUUGUCGCCACUGCUGAUGUCGUCACCGCCACUGCUGAUGUCGUCACCGCCACAAAAGUUUUGCUAGCAGACACCAUGACAACAACACUAAAGGAAACGAUCGAGUGGUCAAUUCGACCAAGACAUAGCAGCACACAAAUAAAAAACUCACAACCAAAAACACAUCACAACCAGAUUUCAUCAUCGAAAGCCCUAAACCAAGAGAUAGUCACUGGAUCCAAAUUUCCUUCACCAACCCUUGCAAAUAUAUACAAACACAGUAACACAUGAACCAAGGUAUGCAAAAUACCUUUACUUUGGCUAAAGCCGCAAAACACUAGACCUUGAGGGGAUACCAACCCAGUUGGGGGAGGGGAAGUAAGGGAUAGAAAUGGAUCUUGCAUUCAUUUUCGGUUCAAAGAUCGCAGAUCGAAGCAAAGAAUGGGGUGGGGAUAGAUUAUGAGGAAGGGAGGUAGGGGAAAGGGUGAGGGAAGAUGAAGGUUUGGGUUUGGAAAGGCGCGACCAAAAGAGAGGGAGGGAAGGAGGGAGGAGGCAUGAAGCCCAAAUCUGAGACAAAUUCAGAAAAAAAAUUGAGACAAAACUCAAAAGAAAAUUGAAACAAAAGAGAAGGGAAAGAAUGAGAAGGAGGGACGGAGGAGAAAACAAAAGCCAAAAGCUAGGUCGGUGGCUAGGGCUUUUCUUGUGUUUAGAAAACCAGAGAAAUGAUAUUUGUAGUUACUGUUGUGUUUCCUACCAAACAUAGUUUUUAUUGAGUUACAAGAGAUGUAUUAUAUAAAAACCUAAUUCUGAACAAAUAGGAAACCAGUAAUAACCACUAAGAAAGUAAUCAUAUCCUUACCUCACUGGAAAAGCCUAAUUAAUAUAUAAAUUAUCAAACGGCUAACUAAACUUGUCCAACAUCCUAUCAAACAAUAUUAAAUAUAUUAUGUUAUCAGGUUAAUAGACUCGUUGGUUCAUAAAUAAUGUGAAAUCAUAUCUAAACGAUGGUUCAAAUUGUCAACUUCACAACAUAGCAUGCUAAACAUAUCCUCCUUUUUUUUUUUUUUUUUUUUUAUGAAAGUGCGUAUGUAUGGAUAUAUAGUACAUAUGUGAUUAAUCAUCAGUUGAUUGUUGAUUAGGUGAGGAGAAAAUUAGAUCGAAAUUAGGUUGGAGGGCACGACGAGAAAUUUGUCUUGGGAUUGCUAGGGGCCUUGUUCACAUUCAUGAGGAGGUGAAACCACAUAUUGUGCACAGAGAUAUCAAAGCCAGCAAUAUACUUUUGGAGAAGAACUUUCAUCCAAGAAUUUCAGAUUUUGGGUUAUCAAAACUAUUUCCACAGAACAUUUCUCACAUUAGUACACGAGUGGCUGGAACAUUGUAAGUAGAAUAUAUUGUCCAAGGGCUGAAAUGCUAGAACUGGUUUCAAUAGAAAUUGCAUAUAUGAUUUGGUUUGUAUUGACAAUACUAAUGGUGCAAACUUCUUGUUGAUGACAAAGAGGUUAUUUGGCUCCGGAGUAUGCAAUCACUGGACAUUUAACGCGAAAAUCAGACGUAUACAGUUUCGGAGUGUUGAUUUUGCAAAUAGUCAGUGGACGAUCGAUAGUUGACUUUGAUAUGGAACUUGGAGAACACUAUCUUGUCGAAAAGGUAUGAUCUUAUAUAUAUGAUAAUUAUAUACAAAUUCUAUCAACUAUAAUGCUAGUGAUAUGCCACUACAACAAAAAUGGCCACUGCGCAUGAUGAAUUAUUUGUGCCCUUUGAGGCCAAAAAGCACCAACAAUUGUGCUCAUAGACCAAUAGCAACAAUGCAGCAACUAAAUUUGUAUCUGUGCCCUCUAUGGGCGUCACCAUUUGCCAAAGGGCACAAUAUGGUCUUUACUGCCCAAAAAGUUCAGCACAAAUAAGGGUUUUCUGUGCCUCUUUUCUGACACCCAUGUCAGAUGACUUUUUCGUUAGCACAAGUUUGUUAUUGUGCCCCAUAGGAUAAAUAUAUUUAAAAAAAAAAUCAAAUAGUAAUACCAUCAAUAAGAAAUUAUUCAUACAGAUAAUGAAAAUAAUUCCUAAUACAUUUUUUAUUCCAUGAAAAACUAUUAACUAAAUCUAAGAACCUAACAAAUACCAUUACUCUCGAGUUCCUCGCAUGCCAGACAACCCUUAACCACCGCAAACAACCUUCAGCUCCUGCUCCAGCCUCUGAAAAUGAACAUGAGUAAUAAAUCUAUCGAGUAGUAAAAGCAGCGAUGCUGAUGCAUUGCUAUUUUCUUUUCAAAGACUAUGUAGCAAAGUUUCGACAGAAACGCCAACCAAAAUACAUAAAUGUUUUUCAAUCAUUGCCUAAAUACACAUACCGUAAACUUUAACGAUUUCUUAUGUAAGAGAGUAGCUAAAUAGCAAGUUGUUAUACUAGUCCUAAUUAUAAUAGUAGAAAGAUAUACUCUUCGCAUCAUAAUGCAACAACCAGCCAAAUUGAGGAAAAGGUCAAAGAAUAAGUAAAAAAACAAAUAACCCGGCAAGGACAAGCUAAUAAAUAAGUUUUAUGAAAUCUAACCUGCUAAUAAUCAAGUAGUUUUCAGCUUUUGAUAAUGUCUUUCGUGCUUCCACUCGGUAGGGAACUAUACAACAAUAUGAAAAAUCAUUAUAAUUUAUCAAUCUAUUAUAAGUAGGAAGAGAGGAAAGGUAACUUAUCAAUUCUAAUACCAAAAAAAAAAAAAAAAAACAUGUAGUUACUCUCCAAUGGAAUAACCAGACAAGAGGAAUCACCAAUGGGAAAUAAUAAUGCACUUAGUGUAGCGUAUACAGAAAGAAUAAUCUUUUAAUCCAAUACAACAGAGGAGAAAACAUAUGCCCUUAAAAGAAUAACAUUUACCAGAAGGCGAAAACCUAACCUGUUCUGGGAUGGAAAAAUCUGAAUCUCAGCGUAGUCCCAAGGUGCACUAGCAUCAAUUUCCCCUCCAUUUUCAAUGCGCUUAAAACUGGACCCAAGCAGAGCAACCUGUAUGGGAAAAGAGGGAAACAAAGUUUAGGUAAAAAAAAUUCAGCAUUUGAAUAUACAGAUUUACAAAAAUUUAGCACUUAAACAAACUAAAAGCCUGCGAAUUCAGUGUAGUAGAUACACAUACAUACAUACAAACAUACAUAUACAUAUAAAUAUAAAUUCAAAGAUAAAGAAAAACCAAACAAUUUACAAGAGCAAAGAAAAUGAAAGGAUAAAGAAUGAAAGACAUACCUCUAUCAUCUGUGGGAGGACUCAUAUUUGCUUUAGGGGCCUUUCCACCACCUGCUUAAAGAUGAUUCUUAUAUAACAACUCCACCGUCUAAAACAACCAACAAUGGAAGUAGAAGAUUAAUAGGGGAAACUACAAGUACUCCUCAUAAAAAAUACAUUUACAAGUGUUCAAGAUAAAAAAACAAACAAAAUUUCUGAGAUUUUCCAUAAAGCAGUUCACACAACCAACAAGAGGGGAAACUACCACAUAUUUCCAGUGAUGUUCAAGGACCAAAAAACUUUCAAACAUUAAAAACUUAAAAAUGCAUUACCAGGUUGUUCAGUCCCAUAAGACUUUGCACAAGGUUACAUGGCUAGUUGGAUUCGUUAUAGAUAAAUAUUAUCAUCUUCAUUUUGAUUCCAGUAUUCAAGCACAAAGACUAGAGAAGUUUUUAUCCUUUAAGGUUAUGUAACAGACCAAAGAAAUUGACCAACUGGAAUUACCGCUAUUGACAGUAACCAUGGCAAAAACCUAUUGAAACCGACUGACAUAACCCUUAGCUUGAUGUUAGUAAAUAAAAGACCCACUCGGCUAACAGACUACAAUAUUCAUUAGAUACACAAUCAUUAUAUAGUCAUCAAAACAAAUAUAUUCAAAUUCAAAACCAUUCCCACAAUCAGUCGAAAAUGACACAAAAAAACAGAGUUAAUUAAAAUCAAUACCUAGAAGUUCCAGAUCUGCCAUGGAGUCAGGCUACCUCAACAUCUUUCAGAACCUGCAAAUUCAAAAUGUCUUAAUCAAAUAUAUAAAAAGAAAAAUCAGGUAAGCAAAUACAAUAGCUUUGAAAGUUAAUAUCAUAAUCCCAUGUUUGUUGCAGAAGCCCUUUGCAAGGUUUGUGCUUUCUUGUGCUUCUUUGGAUAAUGACGUAGAGAAGUUCUUGUCGGGGAAAUUUUAGUUGGAAGCUAGUUGGAAAUUAAUAGCAUCAUAUCAAGCAAUUUGACUAGAGCAUACAAAAGCUAGUUGGAAAUAAAAUUAACUAUAAAGGGAAGAUUAGGAGAAAAUUUGGAAGAGACUUGAACAAAUAAAUCAUUUGCCACUUCCAGUACCAUAGCAAUUUGACAACAACAUAUCAAAGUACUACCAGUGCCAGUUCAUUUGCUUUCUAAGGAACCCCCUUCUCUUUCUAGAUUGUAAGUUCAUCAAUACAUUAUACAUACUACUACCAGUACCAAUUCAUGCUUUAUUUCCUAAACUAAAUUACUCUACCAGUUCAACUUCCUUAAAUAAUCAUUGCCUACUGUACAAAUACGAAAAAUCACUCGUUGUACAAUCAACCUGAAUUGUACAAAUGCGUUCAUAGUGACAAGUCACAAAUAUGAACAAUCAACGAGAAAUAUGAACAAAUUUGAGCAAAAUGGAAUAACAGCCUUCCAAUUAAUUAUUGUGCCAUGAAAAAGUUGAAUAACAGCUUUCCAAAGCCAAAUAUACCAUUGGCUAAGACAUUAAUUAGUACAUAUACAACUCAAUAUUUGUUAAUUCAUAAAAAUAGCCAAUCACAUUCCAGUAUAAAUUCGAAGUGAUAGCAGGUCACUUUCCAUUCGAAGCAAAACUAGGUAUGUUUGAAUCUGAACCAGAUCAAAUCCCCUUUUGAUUAUAACCCAAAAGAGAAAAACGAUCAUUUCCCUUGUGUUUCAAACGAACCCUAACCCUAACCCUAAAAUUAAUCACAAAUUAUUAACUAAAUUAACCAAUACAAGUUCUAAAUUGUUACCAUUUUACCUGGAACGAAGUGGAGAGGAAGGAAUCGCAUUAUACAAGCACUAAACUGAAGGGGAACUGGGGAUGAGAUGAGAGUUGAGGCCGACUGAUUUGUAGAUUCCGUGUGAAGGAGAUGGAUUUGCAGAGUCUGUGAGAAUGUGUGAACUCGACUGAAGACUUGAGUUGAGACCCACCGAUUCGCAGUGUAUGAAAUUUGAAGGGAAAGGAUUUGCAAAUUAUGUUUCUACGUGAGAUGUGAACUCGACUUGAGAAUUGAGAUGAGAGGUGAGAGAGACAGAGAAAGCGAAAUAGAAAAUUUUGGGGAAAAUACAGAGAGAGCCUAGGGUUAAAGAGAGGCUCGGUUUGAUUGGGAAGGGGAGAGCCAGAGAGAGGAGAGGUGGAGGAAUUGAGGAGAGGCUGGGUUGAAAGGGGAAACACAAAGAGGCGGAAUGAAUGAAAUGAGGACAGAGUGAGGCGUGAAGAUUGAGGAAAAUGGUUUCUUAUUUUGUUUAAAACAUUAUUUUAAACAAAGGGCACAAAAAAUCUACUUUUACUUUAAAUAUAUUAAAUUAUAGGACACAAUUAUAUUUAUGGUGGCAUUGCAAAUUAAUAAAAAAUUUCCAUUGCUGACAUUAAAGGCACAAAAGUCAUGGCUAUGUGCCCAAUAAUGUAUUUGUGUCCACUUUUCUUAACAUUGCACACAAUUCAUAGUGCCCAUUGUGAAAUGAGCACUGUUCCACUUUAUUGGUGCUUAAACAAACACAAACACCUCAUUUGUGUCUCUAAUUUUGUGCCCAAAGGCCAUUUUUCUUGUAGUGUGCAUGACUUUUUAUACUUGGAAAUUAAUUUUGCAAUUUUAAAUUCUGUUUGUACCAUACUUGACCAAUCCCGAAACUACCGAGCACCGGCCAACGCUAUACUGUCAAGGACCCAGAAGAGUUCCCCUCCGACCAGGAGGCCAAUCACUACUCGACACGUGUCAAGAUUAGAAGCCAAUCAGAGCGCAGCACGUGUCAACAUCAAGAACCAAUCAUAACAUGACACAUGUCAAUGUGACAAAGCUACAAGUUUUUCUAUAAAUAGGGGUCAUUCCCCCACAAUAUUGCCUAAUGCCAUUUUGUGUGAAAUCAUUCACAAGAACUCACUAAAUUGAGAGCUUGAUCCUUUGUACUUGUGUAAGCCCUUCACUACUAAUAAGAACUCCUCUACUCCGUGGACGUAGCCAAUCUGGGUGAACCACGUACAUCCUGUGUUUGCUUCUCUGUCUCUAUUCAUUUACGUACUUAUCCUCACUAGUGACCGAAGCAACCAAGCGAAGGUCAUAAAACCUGACACUUUCUGUUGUACCAAAGUCUUCGCUGAUUUGUGCAUCAACAUUUGGCGCCGUCUGUGGGAAACGACACUUAUCCCUACUCUCUUCAGCUGUGUCAAGCUGGUUUCUAUCAUUCGUACACUUUCUUUUGAUCAGGCAUCCCUCUCCAACAUGGGAAGCGAAGGAAGCCACAGCACACAGAAUGACACCCCCCUUGCACAUAGUGCGAAACAACGAAAGAAGGAAGGAAAACGAGUUCUUCUUCAAGCUAAAGUCGAUGAGUUGGAAGCUCAGAACAACAAGAUAACAAUGAGGAAUGAGGUCCUCCAGGAGCAAUAUGAGAAGCUCUUCGAGACACUCCACGAAGCUAGGCAAGCUCAGACACGCGAGCUUGUUGCCCCCGUGGAAGUCAACCAUCAACUGGGUGCCCUCCAACAUGGAGGGUCACAUGCAUUCGACAUAGAUAUCCCUGAUAGGGAACAGAUUACCCCUCGACUUGAUAAUCAACAUGAGGCUUCUCUUAACCCAGUUGCUUCGACCCGAACCAUGAGAAGUGGAGGGAGACACCUCUUUGCUGAAGGGGCAGAAGGAUCGAAAGCCGUCUUUUCGCGAUUGUCGGGAUUUCCUGAAGCAACGUCGAGAGAAUUCCAUCCAUAUAAGCUCAAAGAUUAAUGACCCAAGGAUUUCUGAGAGACUCGGUCCCCUGCCACGGCCCAAGCCGGCCACCAAUUUGGGGAAUGGGCAACAAGUCCUAGAGAGACAUGAGGGUACAGGGGACUCAGAGGUGUUCCGACAGACAUACCCUGGAAGCCAGUACAGCGAGUCCAGGGAAAAAUCACAUGCCCUUGAUCAAACCUUCCUAAUUCCAAUAGGAGAUGGAGAUUUACGCAAGAAAGCUCCAGUGACACAUAACUCCGCUCAGGACCCCCUUGUCCUACAACUUCUUGAGGAAGUAAACAAGUUGAAGGCUGAACGUCAGGCUGAAAUACCUGACUGGAACCAACCCAGGCCUGGCCCUCUUACAAGGAGGAUCCUCAAUACCCCCCUUCAAGCAAAGACAAAGCAAAAGCUUGGCUUGCAACUUUAUACUGGAAAAGAGGACCCGAUUGAGCACCUUAACCUCUUUGAGUCCACCAUGGCAUACCGGAUGCACACCGACGAAGAGCGAUGUCUUCUCUUCCCCUCCACCCUCUCUAGUGGAGCUCUAAAUUGGUAUUGUCGUCUUACACCUGAGACGGUAGACUCAUUUGAGGAAUUGAGGAAAACUAUUUGUUUCCCAACACAUUUUCCAAACCGAUCGCUUGCACUCUGCAGAUGGACUUGUACACUAUCCGCCAGAAGCCAGACGAGUCAUUACGUAUGUAUGCUGGCCGCUUCAGCCAUGAAUACUCCCGGUGUGCCGAGGCAGACGACAAGACUGCCCUCAAAGCCUUCACGGCAGGCCUACGUGAUUGUUUCUUUAAAUACAUGAUCAAUGCCAAUACUUGGAAGACUUACUCUGAGGUGAUGGCGCAGGCUUAUAACCAUGCCUCCGCCGAGGCAAAGACAUAUCAGGAGAAACCCCCUACAACCAUCCUUUAUCAACAAGUGGGAGGUGGAAGCCAGACUCACCUAAAUGAGAAGACCUCGACUUUCCAAACAGCAGUGGCACCUCCCCAUGCCUUGCAUAAUGCUUCGCCGAAUCAACAGACAUAUCAAUUUCAAGGCAAGAAGAAGGAUUUCCAUCCUCACCACUCUCAUUUCAGUAAAAAGAGUAAGGGACACUAUCCCGAUAACCAAGGGUAUCGCCACAAUAACGCUCGCCCCCAGGCAGUCAAUGCAGUGGGUCAAACCCGCGUCAAGAUACCCCCUACCCCAAGGUAUGAGACAUACACGCCCUUGAAUGCCACAUGCGCGGCCAUUUUACCCCAGCAUAGCUCACCUGAUACCAAAGCCAAAGCCGAGGCACCCAGAUUACACGCCCCCGAAUAACGCGGGCAUGUUUUGUUGCUACCAUGAGCAUAACAGCCAUGAUAGCGAGAAAUGUAUCAUCCUCCGUGAUCGUAUUGAAGCUUUGGCACGAGAAGGAAAAAUUGAUCAAUUCCUCCUUCACCCUCAAAGGGAUAACCGUAACCAACGCCAGGUGAAUGUCAUAUAUUCCAUAAGCGGCGGCACACCCAUAUCUGAAUCUUCCAAUAGGGCCAUGAAAAACAGUGAACGAAUUCUGAGGCCUGGUCACCAAGUGUUUCACGUGGAAGACAUCAGGGGAGGGAAGUAUCAAAAGCCUAACUGGGAUCCGAUAUGUUUCUACCCUGAGGAAGAAAGAGGCAUCAUCUACCCUCAUAACGACUCAUUGAUCGUGGAGGCUCACAUAGCCAACUUUGAUGUUCGACGAAUCCUCGUAGACACAGGGGCUUCGGUCAAUAUCAUGUUUGCCGAAGCUUUCAGGGCACUCAGUGUAGCUGAACACUUGCUCGAUCGCUCGAUUUCUCCUCUGAUAAGCUUCUCCGGUGAUAUCGUGCAACCCUUAGGGAGCAUACAUUUACCCUUUACUAUUGGUACAGGCCCUUACACGGCUACCAUUACCACUAACUUCCUAGUGGUUGACUGCCCAACGGCAUACAAUGUCAUCUUUGGGCGCACAGGCAUCAAUGAUCUCAAGGCUAUGGUAUCCACGCAUAUGCUGUUGAUGAAAUUUCCAACCCCCCAUGGCAACGGCUACAUCAGAGGAGAUCAGCUUAGUGCACGAUCAUGUUACAACACUUCAGUUAAGCAACAACACUUGCCCGGACCCAAGGAAACCCUGUCUGUACAUGACCAAGUCACAAAGACCAGCCUAGAUGAAGCGAACUUGGAUCUUCCUGAUAGCAACAAUCAACCCGAUGAUCCUCGAGAUGACUCUUUCACCCAGCAAGCCCAACCUGCUGAAGAGUUGGAGAAGGUACCUAUCUCAAGAGAUUAUCCAGAUCGCAUGGUGAAGAUUGGCACCACAUUGUCACCACCCCUUCGGUUAGCAUUGAUAUCUUUUUUGAAAGAGAACACUGAAGUCUUCGCCUGGUCAUACGAGGACAUGCCAGGCAUCUCUCCCGAUGUCAUCUGUCAUCGUUUGAGUAUUGAUCCCAAGACCAAACCAGUAAAACAGAGGCGAAGAUCUUAUGAUGUUGAGCGAUACGAGGCGAUGAAAGCAGAAGUUGAAAAACUCAAGGACAUAGGCUUCGUCCGUGAAGUCAAUUACCCAACAUGGGUAGCAAAUGUUGUCCUUGUUAAGAAAAAUCCGACCAAGGAAAGUCUCCUGCUUCAAAAGGUCUUGUGGAGAAUGUGUGUCGACUACACCGACCUAAACAAAGGAUGCCCGAAGGAUAGUUUCCCUCUUCCUCUCAUUGAUAGACUUAUAGACUCUACGGCAGGGUGUGAGCUCUUGAGCUUCAUGGACGCUUAUUCAGGAUACAACCAAAUCCUCAUGAACCCCUCAGACCAAGAACAUACGGCUUUCACUACUGACAGGGGACUGUAUUGCUAUAAGGUCAUGCAUUUCGGCCUAAAGAAUGCAGGAGCAGCUUAUCAGAGACUGGUCAAUUCAAUGUUCGCCGAACAGAUUGGGAAGAGCAUGGAAGUUUACGUUGAUGAUAUGCUAGUCAAGAGCAAACAUGCUGACCAACACAUCACCAACCUAUCUGAAACUUUCACCAUUCUAAAGAGGUAUCGAAUGAGGUUGAACCCCAACAAAUGUGCCUUCGGCGUGGGCUCUGGCAAAUUCUUAGGCUUCAUGAUUAGCCAACGAGGCAUUGAAGCUAACCCUGAAAAGAUCAAAGCAAUCCUCGACAUGAAAGAGCCAAUAACUUCAAAAGACAUUCAAAGCCUUACUGGCAAGGUGGCAGCCUUAACCAGAUUCAUCUCUAAGGCCACAGACAGAUGUGCUCCUUUCUUCAAAGCACUCAAGGGAAAUAAGAAAUACAUUACAUGGACGGAGGAAUGUGCCAAGGCAUUCAGGAACCUCAAAGAGUACAUGAGUAAAGCCCCUCUGCUCUCCAAACCAGAAGUUGGUGACACUCUCAUCAUCUAUUUAUCAGUUUCGGCUUCAGCAGUCAGUUCUGUUCUUAUUCGAAUGGACAGUGGUGUCGAACGGCCCGUCUACUACGCUAGCAAGGCCCUACAAGAUGCGGAGACACGAUAUUCCAACAUUGAGAAAUUAGCUCUAGCAUUGGUCAUGUCUGCUCGGAAACUUCGCCCUUAUUUCCAAGCACACGCCAUCAUCGUGCUUACCAAUCACCCUCUUCGACAGAUACUCCAGAGUCCUGACACGUCUGGGCGAAUGAUCAAAUGGGCGAUAGCAUUGGGUGAGUUUGACAUCUCCUACCAACCAAAACCAGCCGAAAAAGGUCAAGCAGUAGCAGAUUUCAUCGCCGACUUCACAUAUCCUGUUGACAUUGCUUCUACACCUGAAGCAGUAGCUUCAUUACCAUCGGAAGCUCAGAAAGUAGAAUCAACGACCUCAGCAUGGAGUCUGUAUGUUGAUGGCUCAUCCAACCAACAGGGCUGUGGAGCGGGACUAGUCUUGACUACGCCCGACAAAGUAGCAAUGGAGUAUGCUCUUCGUUUCAAAUUCAAGGCAUCAAACAAUGAGGCCGAGUAUGAAGCCCUUCUAGCAGGAUUACGUUUGGCCAAACACCUCGGGGGUUAAACAAAUUGAUAUUUUCAGUGACUCCCAAUUAGUGGUCAACCAGGUUACCAACAACUUUGAUGCUAAGGACAGCUCCAUGGCAGCAUAUCUUGCGCAAACACAACUUUUGCUCAAGCACUUCCACUACCAGAUCACCCAAGUUCCUCGAGCGGCAAACAGUCAUGCAGACGCCCUGGCUCGCCUCGCCUCAGCUGUGGAAGACAAGAUUGGAAGAAAAAUUCAUGUCGAACUGUUGGCAACACCAAGCACCAUGGCCGCAGAAGUAUGCAACUUACAACAGGGGGAUAGUUGGAUCACCCCGAUCUAUAAUUUCCUUGCUCAUGGCACCCUCCCAAAUGAUAAAGUCCAGGCUAAGCAAAUUCGAUACAAGUCUACCCGCUACCCUGAUCAUCAAUGAUCAACUCUAUAAGCGAGGUUUUAGCCUGCCAUACUUAAGGUGUCUUACGCCUGCCGAGGCGGAAAUCGUCCUUCGGGAAAUACAUGAGGGAGUCUGUGGAGAUCAUGCUGGAUCUCGGUCCCUAGCACACAAGACUUUUCGCCAAGGAUAUUACUGGCCAACACUCCACCAGGAUGCCAUCAAAGUAUCCCGCUCAUGUGACAAAUGUCAACGAUAUGCAACUAUUCCUCAUUCCCCUCCAGAGCCUCUUACUCCUAUGAUCAGCCCUUGGCCCUUCGCCCAGUGGGGACUUGAUUUGAUCGGCCCAAUGCCGGCAGGGAAGGGCAAAGUCUGUUACGCAGUCGUUGCAGUGGACUACUUCACAAAGUGGGCUGAAGUAGAACCCUUGGCAACCAUUACUGAGGCAAAGAUAGAGGACUUCGUGUGGAAGAACAUCCUUUGUAGAUUCGGCAUUCCCAAUGCGAUAGUCACUGACAAUGGGCGACAGUUUGACAACAAGAAGUUCAGGUUGUUCUGCUCUAAGUUCAACAUCAACUUAUGCUUUGCCUCUCCAGCUCAUCCCCAGUCUAAUGGACAAGUUGAGGCCAUCAACAAAAUAAUCAAGCGCACUUUGAAAACCAGCUUGGACAAAGCUAAAGGCUGUUGGCCAGAAUUUGUACCCCAAGUUCUUUGGUCAUAUCGCACUUCAUAUCGGACUUCAACAGGAGAAACUCCAUUCUCACUUGCCUUUGGCACAGAGGCGGUUGUCCCUGUUGAGCUCGAGCAAGCAACAUUCCGAGUCCAGAACUACAUUCAAAGUGAAAAUGACAAACAACUCACCCUCAACUUGGAUUUAGUCGAGGAACACAGAAACCAAGCUCACUUGAGGAAUGUCGCCUACAAGCAGCGCAUCUCCAACUAUUAUGACUCUAGGGUCAAGCCUCGUUCUUUCAAAAUAGGAGACUGGGUCUUAAAGAAAAGAUUACUCUGCGACAGAGUCCCGAGUGAAGGCACACUUAGUCCAAACUGGGAUGGACCGUAUGAAGUCAUUGGCAUCAGUCGCCCUGGCUCUUACACACUUAGAAGCUCCGAUGGCAAGACCCUUGGCCAUCCAUGGAACGCUGAUCACUUGAAGUACUACUACAAAUAGACUCACGAUGUACAAGUGUUGAGCUAUAGCCGUUCGGCAUCCUAUGUAAUGAAGGCCAUUUGGCAAUGAAUUCAAUAAAGAGGUAAUUGAGCUAUAUCCGUCUUCCACAGUCACUACAAAACAAGCAAAUGAAGACCGUGUCAAGCGCCAAAAAAAAAAAAAAAAAAAAAAAAAAAAAACAGCUCCAUCCAAAAAGCUUCACCCGAAAAGCUUCACCUCCAAAGCUUCACCAUCAAAGCUUCACCUAAAAAGCUUCACCCAAAAAGCUUCACCCGAAAAGCUUCACCUCCAACGCUUCACCCACAAAGCUUCACCCACAAAGCUUCACUUAAAAAAGCUUCACCUACAAAGCUUCAUCUACAAAGCUUCAUCUACAAAGCUUCACCAUCAAAGCUUCACCUAAAAAGCUUCACCCAAAAAGCUUCACCCGAAAAGCUUCACCUCCAAAGCUUCACCCACAAAGCUUCACCUAAAAAGCUUCACCCAACAAGCUUCACCCGAAAAGCUUCACUUAAAAAAGCUUCACCUACAAAGCUUCACCUAAAAAAUCUUCACCUAGAAAGCUCCCUCUACAUACUUUCACCAUCAAAGCUUCACCAUCAAAGCUUCACCUAGAAAGCUUCAUCUACAAAGUUUCACCAUCAAAGCUUCACCUAGAAAGCUUCAUCUACAAAGCUUCAUCUACAAAGCUUCACCAUCAAAGCUUCACCUAGAAAGCUUCAACACCAAAGCUUCAACACAAAACCUUGCUCCAAAUAAACAAAUUUUGUUCACAAAACCCAAGAUGCCCUUGAACUUGUACAAAAACACUUGGGUAAACAUAAACAUUUUUUGUUUUACACCCACAAGGGCCCAAAAUUUUCCUUCUUAUUUAUUCACUUAUAUAUGUUCCCAAACAUAUUAUAAUAGAUCCAACAACAAGCCAAAGUCCCAAGUUUCAUAAUGGACAAAAGUACAAGCAAUUCAUCAAUAAUGAAGGUGCUACAAAACUUGGAAUCUGCCCCAAAAUAGAAAUCCAACCCAAGAGACUUUUUCUCUCUCUCCCUCUUCCGCCUCCUUUCAUCUAUCAAAUUUCUGCAACCUCUGCUCUUCUCCAAUGGAGCUGAAUUUUGGACACCCUAUAGUUCUUGAGCAUAUGAACAACUUUCAAGAAGGAACCAUUUCUGUUUGAGCGACGGAAAUUAAAGUGUUGAAGCUCCAAACAUGAUAGUCGGCUUCUUGCAGAUUUCGAAGCUGUUGUGAUGUUUCGAAGAUCUGGAAAUAUUUAACCGUUAGUUCAUCCUGAAUUUUUGAUAUGUUAUGAAAGAGUCGAUGAUGAACAACUUCAAUAAAGAAAGCAUACCGAUCUGAACAAGAGAAAAUGGAGUUUCGAAGCUCACAACAAAUCUGACGGUUUGACAGAAAAAUAAUAACCAGUCAUUCAUCAUACCUGAGUUUCUUGAGUUAUACAGCUCCGAGGGAUCUCAAAUUUGGAUAUGUUGUAGUUCACAAGCUGAGGAACAACUUCAAUGAAGAAAGCAUGCUGAUCUGAGCAAGAGAAAAUAGAGUUUCAAAGCUCACAACAAAUCUGACGGGUUGACAGACAAAUGAUAAACAGUCACUCAUCAUACCUGGAUUUCUGGAGUUGUACUGCUCCGAUGGCUCUCCAAUUUGGAUAUGUUGUAGUUAAGGAAUUAACGAACAACUUUCAUGAAGACAACUUUGUGAUUCGACCUACAGAUGAUGGUGUUAUGUUGAAAAACAAUUCCGGUUGUUAGGGGAAAUGAAAAACAAUUCCACCAAAGAAACAUCAUUAUGAUGUUUCAUCAUUAUGGUGUUUUCAUCAUUAUGAUGCUUUCAUCAUUGUGAUGCUUCCAUCAUUGUGAUGCUUUCCAUUAUGAUGUUAAUGCACCAACGGUUACACCUUCUGCAAUUCCACUUAUUCGGGCCUAGCAACCUUCAUAAACAAAAAUCUAUGAAGAAAAAGUCCGGGGCUACCACUUAGAAAACAAAAGAAUGAAGUUUUUGGUACUUACGACAUGGACUAUUAGCAAGACACCUCAUUCGUCAACUCCCUCGACUAGAGACUUGGGGGACUCCCACCAUAUGCUACUACGCCUUGGUACUCAAAAGUUCGUGACUACUCAGUGACUUGGAUUUUUCAAGUCUCCAACCGAGAAGUUUUCCUCACUCGGGAAAUUAAGGGAACACUACCUCAGACUACAUGCUUCACUCACAAAGCUUCAACAAUACAGGUUUCAACAAAAGCAAAAAUUCAAAGAACUUUAUGAAGAAGGCUUUGGUGUAUUUAACACAAUAUGUUGAAAUGAAGCAAAGCUUAUUUAUUAAUAUUUUCGAUAAGCCACAAAUAUGUACAUAUACAUGAGUCAAAAUAAACAAACAAAAGGGAGCCUUCACAAAGGUUGCUUAGGGGAAGUCUCAGCAGUCGGUAGAGCCCCAGAAAGAGAAAGCACCGGAGGGUGGUUAUCCGGAGCCUCAGUACUUGACAAAACCCCAGAAGGAGGAGGCAUUGGAGGUUCAUCAUUUGAAGCUUCAUUACCAGGUACAGCCCCAGAGGACGAAGGCAAUAAAUGCCUUUGGAACAAACCCACAAACCGCUGAUGAUCAAGUAAAACCUUACCAUCAGAUUCCUUCAUCUGGUCAAGCUUCCUCUUCAUGUUUGUAGCAUAGUCAUGGGCGAGCCGGUGCAACUGCUUAUUCUCAUGCUUGAGCCCUCUAAUCUCCUGUUUGAGACUCAUCACUUCAGCAGCCAAUGAUUCAACUUGGCGGGUUCUAGCAAAUAGGCGUUGGGCCAUAUUAGACACAGAACCUGCACACUGAACACUAAGAGCCAGAGAGUCCUUAACAGCCAACUCAUCAGACCGUUUGGAAAGUAGUCUGUUAUCUUUGGGAGUGAGAAGGUUCCUGGCCACCACUGCAGCGGUCAUAUCAUUCUUCAUCACAGAAUCCCCAACGGUAAGAGGACCAGUAGGGGAUAUGAAGGAUGGGCGCCAUAUGUUGUCUGGAGAAGGCGUGGCUGUCUCUUCUCCAAGGUUCAAGUCAAAACGACGGUCGGAGGGUCCAGACAUUUUCAAAUGUGUUGAAGAAGGAAGAGGUCAGACAAAUCAAGAUCUUAGAAGUGCAAGAAAUGAGCUUCUACUGGUAGAGAUUCAAGUGUGCUGUGGAACUUAAUGUCAGCCUCUAUAAAAAUCUGCACUCGACGGAGCUUCAGAAAUCGAAGAGGCGUUUGCUUUCUCAAAAGCUGGGCUGCUCAGAGACCACGAGAGGGCCGAUCUCAGAAAUCGAAGAGGCGUUUGCUUUCUCAAAAGAUGGGCUGCUCAGAGACCACGAGGGCUGAUCUCAGAAAUCGAAGAAGCACCUGCUUUUUCAGCCUCGUCAGCACCUGUCACAUGCACACUCAGCUUUGCGGAAAUUACGGGCAAUCUGUCGAAGAUUUCUGGUGAAGUAGAAAGCACGUGAAUCUUACUGUUCAAUCACCGCUCUCCAUAUGCACCAUCAACACCUCGGUACCACAUAUAACUUUGUCAAAGAUCUCUGACAAAGUUUAGGCACGAGAAUUUCGAAGUUCCAGCUACCCUACUAUUACCCAUAAGGGUAAAGGAACAGCACCACUGCUUGACAACUGGAAAGUCCCUAUGUGUGUCGACCUCCGUGUUUUGCGGCAAGACAGGUUGGCAAGAACGUCCAACCUUUACUCACAUUCGAGAAAAAGACUCCCAACAUAAUUACUUUCUCAAAAACCGGAGUAGCACCGCUUUCCAAAUCUCGAGAGUCAGAUCCUCGACGGGAUUGCUUGUUCGAAAACCGAAGAGGCACAACUCUCAGAACUUCGAGAGCCAGAAUUCCUUAGAUAAAGCUUGUCUGUAAUCUUCACACGUAACAUCAGCUUUCCAGAUACCACAUACCACUUUUUCAAAGUGCUCUGACAAAAUUAAAACACGUGAAGCUGGCAGCUCCCACUACAUUGAUGUGACCAAGAAGGGUAAAAGAAUAGCAUUACUACUUGUUAUUGGGAAAUCCCUAUAUAUACAUUGACCUCCCUCCUCAACGGACAGGCAAACCUGCAAAAAUGCUCAACCCUUUCUCGCAUUCGAAGAGGCACCCUCAACAUAACCUCUCGAAAUACUCAGCUUUAUUUCCCCCCGAUAAUACCUCAGCAAAUAAGCCACACCAAGAACAAGAGUAUCUCAUAUCAUCAGGGUCGAAAGCAAGAGUAUCACAUAUCAUGCUUUCUCCCUGUCUUUGUCUUUGUCCUUGUCCACACCUGCAGGACAAGGAGAAAGAGAGCAGUCAGUCGGAACCUGAAAUCAAAACCUCCAAUUUGGAACUGACUGCCUGGAGCCUUUGCCUGGUUGCUUACUUAGCAUUGCUCUCGAGUACUCAUCCUCAACUGCUGUCAAGGUCACGAAUUCCACCGGCAAAUACCUCAUGACAGUUGAUCAGAUAUUGGCUCUUUACACUGAAGCUGCCAAGCGUGGAUGAGUCACUAUGAAGGAAUGUUCUGAAGGACCAUUUAAAUGCAAAGGUUGCACACCACUUCUGCCAUGCAAAAGAUUGAAGCAGAAGGUUCAACGGUGAGCUGAAACAGAUCACUACAGCACGACACCUUUCCAUACCACAAUUCAUUAUUCCGUCAACAGCAAAAGUAUCCCAUAUCAUCAAGGUCGAACGUACUCUAGAUUUGAUGGACUUGUUUUGACCCUCAAAUUUUUGAAUCGGCCUUAUACUCUGAAGGGCACCAGAAAACCCUCCAGCACAGUUCAAGAAUAAGCCUGUGGAAAGUUACUUCUUCAAAAGCAAAAGUAUCUCAUAUCAUCUCUUAUCCAUUUGCUUCUCCUUAUCCUGGCAGUUGAAUGAGAGACAAGGAGAAUGAGAACAAUCAACCGGAAGCCGACGUCAAACCUCUGAUCCUGGGUUGCUUACUUGGAAGUUUGACUGCUUACCUUGUCUGUCACCCUCUUUCGGCAGAUCUCCUAGCUCGGCGACUUGGGGGACUCCUACUAUAGGGUUCGUAUCACACUUGACUAAGCCCGAAACUACAACUAAGCUUCAAGUGAAAUUGAUACAUUACCUUGUGCGUCAACAUCAGCUAAGUACACCAUUCCCGGAUGGAGGAAAGGUACUUCCAGAGAAGGGCAGAUGAAGAUCAGACCACACUUCGGUACUUAGAAGUUUCGUGAUUACUCAAGGGAUUGGAUCUUGCAAGUCCCCAACCGAGGAGUUUCCCUCACUCGGGAACUUAGGGGAGCACUGUUUGUACCAUACUUGACCAAUCCCGAAACUACCGAGCACCGGCCAACGCUAUACUGUCAAGGACCCAGAAGAGUUCCCCUCCGACCAGGAGGCCAAUCACUACUCGACACGUGUCAAGAUUAGAAGCCAAUCAGAGCGCAGCACGUGUCAACAUCAAGAACCAAUCAUAACAUGACACAUGUCAAUGUGACAAAGCUACAAGUUUUUCUAUAAAUAGGGGUCAUUCCCCCACAAUAUUGCCUAAUGCCAUUUUGUGUGAAAUCAUUCACAAGAACUCACUAAAUUGAGAGCUUGAUCCUUUGUACUUGUGUAAGCCCUUCACUACUAAUAAGAACUCCUCUACUCCGUGGACGUAGCCAAUCUGGGUGAACCACGUACAUCCUGUGUUUGCUUCUCUGUCUCUAUUCAUUUACGUACUUAUCCUCACUAGUGACCGAAGCAACCAAGCGAAGGUCAUAAAACCUGACACUUUCUGUUGUACCAAAGUCUUCGCUGAUUUUGUGCAUCAACAAAUUCUUUACACAUUAUCCAGGAUUUAUCAUAAAACCUUGUAUCGAUGAAUGGAUUGAGUAGACCAAGAGUAGUUUUGUAAAGAAAAUUAAAUCCUCACCCAUUUCAUGGAGAGAUUUUUCAGUGUGACUGGUAUACGGGGUGGUACACCACGUGUCAUUAAAUAAAUGGUAGGAUAUGUGUGCUAAAAAGUUAAUAACAUAAAAAAAUAAAAUUUCCCACCAUUCCUAUUAAAACACGUGGUAUACUAUUUGUAUUCCCGUCACAAUUAAAAAUUUCCCCACUUCAUGAAAUAAUUGGUACACCAUUCUGAAAGGUCUUCUUCGCACCAGUAGCCCAAGGGUCCAACGCUUAUUUAAAAUGAUUAUGCAUAAAUAAGCUUUAAAACACUUAUUCUAGAACCGAACCUUGAUUUAUAUAUAUAUGUGAGACUUUUGAUGCAGUCCCUAUCUAUUAAUAUUCUUUUACUGAAACCUUGUUGGUUUUCAAUUUUUGAUCUAAGUCCCUGAAAUUAAUAUGAUAAUUUAUUUCUAUUUAUGUUACUAUAUUUUUUUAAUUAAAAAUUAAAAUUUAUAGUUGUUUAUGUUAAUGAGAUUUUAAAUAAAAACCCAUAAUUUGUGGGAUUAAAAAUAUUAAAAUAUAAGUUAUACUAUUGUGUGUGUGUGUGUGUGUAAACAUGGGUACAUUCAUCAAAAUUAACAAAAAAAUUAUUGUACCAAAACAUGGGUACAUUCUUCAAAACUAUUAAAAAAAAAAUAAAAUAAAAUAAAGAUACUAGGCUUAAUAACAUUAGUAAAUUUCUUCGAUAAAACUUGACAUGAAUACAUUCUCAAAUAAAAGAAAAAGAAUGUACCCAUAUAAGUUUAAAAAUGGUACAUUUUACAUAUAACAAAUUGGUAUAUUUAAGAAUGGGUACAUUUUAAGAUUAAAAAUUUGAAAACAUUUUUUAUAAAGCUAAUGGGUACAAACUUAUUCUAAUUUUUUAUUUAUUUUGGAAAUGUUUUGGAUUAAAAAUUAUUUAGGAGUUUAAUAAACGUGUGAAUAUUAAAAUCCUAAAUCAAUUAUUAAUUUUUAUUUUAAAAAAUUAUGUAACUGACAUGUAAAUUCAUUAUUACAUUAAUGCUAAGGACUUGGAUAAAAAUCUGAAAACUAAUAAGGUUUCAGUCAAUAAACAUUAGUAACUAAGAACCGGAUACUAAUUUUUCCCUUAUAUAUUGUGCAUAAGUCAAUGUUUUUAACUAUUUGAGUUACGUACAAGACCUUAAUGUAUAACAAAUUGGCUAAUGCUAGGAAGAUUAAAUUUUUAAACCAAAUUUUAUAAACCAAAUGAUGUGGAUGUUAAUUAUUGGAUUAUUACUUAAAUGUUGAUUAACGUGUUUAUUUCUUAUUUGUGACACAUCAUUUGAUUUACAAAUUUAGAUUUCUUAUUUGUGACACAUCAUUUGAUUUACAAAUUUAGCUUAAUUUUUUUAUUUCCCUAACAUUAUUCAUAUAAUUAACUCUAGUCACCCGACAAGAAAGUUACACACACACACACACACACACACAUAUAUAUAUAUGUAUGUAUGUGUGUAUAGAUGCAUGCAUGUGAUAAAUUGGUUUGGUAAGCACAUUUCAAAUCACAAAUUAAUAAGUACACGUAAUACCCAAAAAAGAAACUGGCAUCAAAUUUGGAUCCUAAUUAACCUAUAUGAAAUAUUACCAAACCUGAAUUAAUAGUGAGACUGCAUGGACCUGAUGGUGAUGCAUGCAGGCAUGGGAAAUGUACAAGGGAAAGAAGCUUGUAGAUCUAGUGGACUCUUCUCUCGAACUUGACGGAAACAUUUCAGAAAAAGAAGCCGUCCAAUUCCUAAAGGUGGGUCUGCUUUGUGUACAAGAAAAAUCCAGCCUCCGACCCCGCAUGUCUACCGCCAUUAAGCUGAUGACGAUGAAUGAGAUCAACGUUAAUAACGUGGAGAUAGGCGAGCCAGGAGUCAUUACUGAUAAUAUGGACCUCAAAAUAGCCCAAAGGGCUGAGAGAAGCUCACCGCUUAGCAUCAAAGCCAGCAUGCAAAGCCCCCAAAUCUAUCUUUAUUACAAAAAAAAUUAGAAAUUUGAAUUAACUGUAGGCUUAAGCGCUUAAAGGCUUGUUUGAUAAUCAUUUUAUUUUGUAUUUUGAUGCCUAAGAUAUGAAGAUGCGGAUGAUGGAAAAGAGAAAGAAAUAACGAUGAAUGAAUGAAAACAAAAUUUUUGAACAUAAAAACAAGUUAAAAUAACUUUUUAUUUUUAUUCUUUAGUUUUCAUUUUUGUAUGUCGAACUUUCUUUAUACAUUUCUUUUAAACUCAUCCCACCAUUUUUCUCCACUAUUACAUUUUUCCCUUGUAAUGUGCUGUAUAGAUCGUUACAAGCCUAGCAACGACUACUUGUGGUGCAGUUGCAUAUACAGGCACGAAGAAUCUAACAGAAUAUAAUCUCCCAUUUGUAACAUGAUGUAAUAGGGUUUUUGCAGAGCCAUCCAAUCAAUAAGUUCACAGAGAGAGAGAGAGAGAGAGAGAGAGAGAGAGAGAUAUCAAAGCUUUUUCUCUCCACUCUUCUCUCUAUAUCUCAUUUAAUAAGCACGAAUUGUUUAAUUUUGUUAAUGUUUAUAUUAUAUAGAUUUUGAAUUUAUGCCACACUCGAUUAAAAAAAUGACACACAAGCAGGCUAAUUUUCAGUGAUCCAAAUUUAUAAUCGGAUAAUAUAAACGCGUAUAGAUAUUGAGAGACAAUAUCAAUCUAAGAGAACAUGUAAUCUUAUAUGGAUAUGUGUUGUUGGGGGCCAUAUAUAUAUGUCUUGUUUCUCAAUUGCCGUGAAAAAAAAAAUGACCAGUUCAUAAAAAUAUAGGGUUUUGCUGGUUUAUGGGCAUGAUCAUGAACCUUGAUAUAAAUUUAGACUAAUUAUAAAAUGCUCACCCGUAAUCUAGCAAAUAAAGCACAUUACAUAGUCUGCUUUAGGGAUUGGCGACUAAUUACCCAUUCAGUGACUUUGGCAUUGGACAAUCUAAAAAUGGGUACUAUCAAGUCUAGUGAAUUAAAUUCAAUAAUAUAUGCCUGUUGACGUUCCAACCUUUCUUCUCCUUUCAGGGCCUAUCCGAAAAAAGAAUCCAGUACUUCUUGGAUUCUCUUUCAUACCAAUGCAAUUGAUUGGAGUUUGGUCACUAAUUCCAUAAAAAGAUCAUUCAUUGACCCCCAAGAAAGAAAAAAAGAGCAAAACUGUGAUAAAUCCGAAGUUAGUGUAUAGUUGUCCUCCACUGAGAUGAGUUGACUAGUGGUUCCCUCUCCGAAGUAGUGUAAAUUGUUUUUGCCUCGCCUUGCGAGUACUGUGGACCUGUGGUCGCGAUGUUGUGAUGGCCGAAUUGGUCUUCGCCUUUGGAUUAUGAGUUAUGUACAUCUUGCUCUACUGCAAUGAUUUUAUGUGAUCCCGUUCUUCAGCGAUAAUCGAUGUCGUUGUCAGUAUAACUCUGUUGCGUCUAUUGUUAAUUGUGACCGACAAUAUUGGUGACAAUUGUGCGCUUGGGGAUUGUGUGUUUGUGUUUGUUGCAGUCUUUUAGGGGUUUACUCUUGUUUGUUUAAUUGUACAAAUUCACUUCAGAUCAAACUAUUGGUCACCAGAACAAUAUACCAAAUGACACUAAUUAAUGGAAUACCACCCUAUGGUUCCUGUAAAAAAAAAGUUGGGAAAGAAUCUUAUUCCUGAGUUCGAGUGUACAAUGUCUACACAUAUACAACCCAGAAGGUAGCUAUGUAGGUCCCCACUAGCCAGUGCAUGAUGAAGAUAUUUCAGUGUGUUUGGAACACGAGGUGAUACAACACGUGUCAUUAUACAAGUGGUGAGAUACUUCUGUUAAAAAAUUAGCAACUUUAAAAAUAAAACUUCUCUCAAAUUAUAUAAUGACAUGUGGUGUACCAUGCAUCUGUAUUUCGGGCACAAUGAAAUUUUUUUUCUACAUGAUGUACAUACCUACAUCUAUAUCAUUAUUCCUAGAUUCAUAAUAAUAUAUAAGUAUACUUUUACAAUUUUAUUUUCACAAUUUAAGCUAAUUAAGACGUUGUGCCUCUAGGCUGGCCAAUCCCAGGAGAAUGUUGGUUGUGUGUAUGGCAACGGCAUGCAUGCACUUAAAUUGAAAAUUUAAAUAUAUGGGAAUCCAAUUUCCAAAAAUCCCCAGUAAUUGGUUUUGGUUUUGCGUUUCCCAGGAGGGAAGCUCAUCAAGGUGGUCCAUCUCUUUGCCUGACGAAAUGUCCUUUUUCUUCUUGACCUGCUUUGACCGUAUGCUAUAUAUUCCCUGCUAGCCAAUUGGUGAAAAGAUAUAUAAAAUAUAUAUUCACAGAGAGACAGAGAGAGAGAGAGAGAGAGAGAGAGAGAGAGAGAAGGGGAGGGAGAGAGAGGUGGUCCAGUCUUUUUUGUGCUUGUAGUAUGUAUGUAUGUAUGAGAUUCCUAAUAGCAUGAUGAUAAUCCUCUCUGCUGCAAAAAAACACUUUUGCUUUUCCUGGAAUCCAUACAUACAUACUUUUCUUCUUCAAGCCCUCGCCAGUCGUACGUUUGUUUGUGUCAUGUGUGACUCUUAAUUUGCGUUUACAACUUUAGAGAGAGAGAGAGAGAGAGAGAGAGAGAGAUUAGCUAGACCUAGAUACAUACAACGCAGAUGAGCUUAAACUUAAAUUCUUUUCUUUUCUCUUCUCUAUACGUUCGUUCGUUGUAUAGCACAGAUGGGAAGAUGUGCUCACUGAUCCACUAGUUAGCUGUGCGCAUGCUGCACGACAAGGAAUAUUAUUAUUGUGAUCAUAUGUCUGGGAAUUAGGAAAAUCUUAUCUAUAUAAUCAAAAAAUCUAAAAUUACUCCAUAUUAUUGAAUGGCUAAUGUUAGCAUUUUCUUUAGUGAAUGCUGCCCUACUUAGAGCCUUUAAAUCCAAUAACUCUCAAAGAAAAUUUAUCACAUCUCUAUUUAAUAUAUAUUUUUAGUAGAGAAGUAUGUCAGAUUAACCUCCUUGUCCGGGUCUAAAAUGUGUGUAGCGCCAUCCCUCUUUCGAAGGAAAAGGGACUAUUGAUCAGGCAAAGCUUUUUUAAUAUUUUGGUUUCUUUUACCUUUUUAUUCUUUUUUUUUUUUUUGGGGUUUCUUUAAUCUGAACUCAUUUGAUAUUGUGGUCUCAAAACUCAAAGAUCUGAAAUCUCUCGUUGUCCUGAAAAUCUUGUUUUUUCUUUGUCGAGAAAGAAAAAUGAUAAUGGACAAUGUCAUGCAAUCUAAUCGCCAAGACCAUAACUUAAUUUAGUAAACCCUAAAUUUGAAUUAGAUUUAUAAAUCUAAAUUAAAAUGUAAUUUGUCCGAAUGGUUAGACAAACCAUAUGAUCUAUUCAACAAUAGAUAACUAGAUUGGAUUAAUGGGACUUAUCUGCACGAUUAAUUAAAAAAAAGAGUUUCUUAUUGUUUAAAGAAUGUUUAAGCUUUGAAAUUACAUAAUAAUCAUCUAAUACUUCAUGGAUCUCUUGUGAUAACAAAACUUAAGCGAAUUAAAAGACAAAACACAGAGAAAACAAAUAAAAAAAACAAAUUAUAUAGCUCCCUUGAGUUUAUUAACCAGAGAGGUCAUGAGAAAUGUCCAUGAGACAAGCGUGGAACAAGAUGGAUGGAUUUUGGUGUCAUGUGUCACGGCUCAUGAGAGUAAUCUGAUCUGAUCUGAUGGGCAACAUUGAAAGUAAGUUGUAACUUCCAUGUUGUGUCAGGUUUCGACCUUCUUUUUAACCAGAACCAGCUUCUAAUUUUACCGUAAUUUGGGCCAAAGCUUUUGCCACAGUUUGUUGGUUUCCAGUGCCCCUCGUUACAUGUGUAUGGUGAAAUGAUUAAAGUCUCAUGGAAAAUACAUGUGACAACCAGUAAAAUGACAAAUCUAUAUUUCAGAAAAGCAAAAUAAUUCUCUCUGCAAAAGUAGAAGCAUCUCAUCUCAUCACAUCCAUGGUGAAAAAAACCCUAAACCAUCCACAUGAAGGAGAAGAACGAGAGAAAGAAGAAGAUAAAGUACCUUUUCUGAUCAGAAACAUCUGCCUCCAUACUUUCUAAAUUACGGUGCUGCCCCUGUGGAAUAAUAUUACAAAUACUCCAACAUGACCAUAACAUCCCUAUCUAGCUAGUUCUAGCUAAAAUCCUUGAAAUGAAAAUAAAACAUUACACAAAAGCUUUGAAACUAUCUGCAAAAUUAAUGAGGAAGAAGAAAUAGAACAAGAUGAAGAGACACAGCCAUGGACAUGGGUUUUAUAUGCAUGGCUCCUCAUACGCCAUCCACGGAGGCCAUCGAUGUUCGGUGGAACUCUGCAAAUGGCAUACAGGGAGCCAGGCACAUAUAUAUAUACAUGUAUAUGUAUGUAUGCGUGAAUCACUCUAGCUAGUUACAUAUAUACGACUAAUUAACAAACCUACAUGGAUCAAUUGAUGAGGUAUAUAUGUUCUUACAUAUUUACCAGCUAGGGUUUGUAGAAAAUAUUCAACCCUAAACCUAAUCUAAUGCUAACCCAACAUCCUAAUACUCUCCAUGAAUAUGAGCAGGUAUGCAUGCGUAUGCUAUAAAAAUGAGUGUUUUUUUUUCUUUUUUGUAACAUGGGUUUUUGAGGGAGAGCAAAUUAUGCAUGGAUUUGGAAUGAAUAAGAUUUUGUAGGUAAAGCUAGACCGGGGAAGCUUUGCCAUGGCUAUAGAGGGUAAGACAAGGAGAGGCUGCAGUAGUGGGGGGAGAGAGAGAGAGAGAGAGAGAGAGAGAGAGAGAGAGAGAGAGAGAGAAAGACAGAGAGAGGCUUAUAUUUAGGAGAGAGAGAAGGGGGGAGAGCGAAAAAUGGGAUAAUGAUGGGAACUGGGUCAUAAUCAAAAUGGAGUUUCAAAGCCCCACAGGCAUAGAGGAAGACCCAUUUGAAUUGGUAUAAAACAAGCAAACCAGAGGGCUAAACUUGGGUAUUUAAAGGGGUAGAGCCUAAUAUUUUGUGGGUUUUUUUUUUUUUUUCUUUUCUUGUGUAUGGGAUUUUCAGAGUGAAAGGAGGAAGAAUGUGGGGUUGGAGUUGCACCCCCAUCUAUUGCCCUCUAAAUAUAGGCACCAAGCCAACCAGGAGAGAGAAACGAAGGAGUGAGACCAAGAGAGAGAGCAAAUAGGGUUCGUCUGUGGUUUGGGUUAAUAACCACGCAAUUUCCUAAGCUAGGCCUUACGGUGUUUGAAAUCUCCUUUUCUGGGUCGUAAAGCAAACUUUGCUUUUCUCUUCUCUGAAGCUCACUUUGUCUGGGAGUGCUUGGAAGACUUGGAUUCCUUCAUCCGUCUCCUUACUUUCAUUUCCUUUUUAAAUAAAAAUAUAUAAAGUGACCUAAAAGAGAAAAGGGAGAAAAUACCAUAAUUUUAUCAUCUUUUUCUUUUUGCACCAUCACUUCCUCUUUAAUCUUUAUAUCUUUCUUUUUCCUUUUUCCAUACCCUUCACACAUAUUUUAUUACUAAAAUUCAUUAUAAUUACUAUUUUGCUUCACCAACAGAGAUUUGUGCUUAACCCGCUUUUUGUUUAGAUUUUAAAUUUAGAAUAAUCUAUGACACGUUGCUGGCUUUACCUAAUAUCCCACCUUUACUUCUCUGUCCAUACAGGUUGCAUCCCAUAGUCAAGAACAAAACUGGGCUAAAGGUUUUGAAGUACUCCUCAAAAGUAGUUUGUAGCCGGUUUGCAAAUUUCAUGUUUAUAAAUUUGAAAUUAUUCAUAUUUAUAAGUUAUUAUGUAAAGAGUAUUUCUAUAAAAAUAUAAGAUCGUUUAGUCAUUAAAUUGUAUAAAAACAGAUGGUCGAAAUCGGUAAAAUUAUGACAAACGGUCUAUUCAUUUGCUACAAACUAAGCAUGAAAUUUGCUCAAUCAAGCACGAAAUUUGCUCAAUCGACCACAAACUAUUUUGAUAAGAAGUUGCUCCACAAUCUUUGUGGAGCCAAGUAAUGCUAGCUCCACUUAGAAUUACCCUUUUAAUAUUACUCAUUUAUAAUAUAAUGUACAUGUUAUAGAUAUUAGUAUAAUAUGAAGUGCUUGUAGACAUGAAUCUGAGAAAAUUGCGUCUGAUUUUAAGUCGAACGCUUGUAUACCGAGUGUAGAACUAGAUCGAUUUGUUUCUUUUCUACGCCUAAGAACUUCCAAACUCUUAUCUUUGAGGCUAUCGUUUCAACAACAACAACAACAAAGCCUUUUCCCACUAAGUGGGGUCGGCUAUAUGAAUCCUAGAACGCCAUUGCGCUCGGUUUUGUGUCAUGUCCUCCGUUAGAUCCAAGUACUCUAAGUCUUUUCUUAGAGUCUCUUCCAAAGUUUUCCUAGGUCUUCCUCUACCCCUUUGGCCCUGAACCUCUGUCCCGUAGUCACAUCUUCGAACCGGAGCGUCAGUCGGCCUUCUUUGCACAUGUCCAAAUCAUCGGAGCCGAUUUUCUCUCAUCUUUCCUACAAUUUCGGCUACUCCUACUUUACCUCGGAUAUCCUCAUUCCCAAUCUUAUCCUUUCUCGUGUGCCCACACAUCCCACGAAGCAUCCUCAUCUCCGCUACACCCAUUUUGUGUACGUGUUGAUGCUUCACCGCCCAACAUUCUGUGCCAUACAACAUCGCUGGCCUUAUUGCCGUCCUAUAAAAUUUUCCCUUGAGUUUCAGUGGCCUACGACGGUCACACAACACGCCGGAUGCACUCUUACACUUCAUCCAUCCAGCUCGUAUUCUAUGGUUGAGAUCUCCAUCUAAUUCUCCGUUCUCUUGCAAGAUAGAUCCUAGGUAGCGAAAACGGUCGCUUUUUGUGAUCUUCGCUAGAUUGCUCCGGUCAUUAGUGUGGAUAAGUAUAUAAAUGGAUAGAGAUAGCGAAAACGGUCGCUUUUUG
RNAcentral lists this long non-coding RNA (58736 nucleotides) under Malus domestica (apple). RNAcentral describes it as "long non-coding RNA (MDOM_LNC000992)". The record is from RNAcentral. Lineage: Eukaryota; Viridiplantae; Streptophyta; Magnoliopsida; Rosales; Rosaceae.